UUUUUUUACAUGUUAGAUUUGAGUUAUCAAUAUAAUAAGUAUACGCAUAUUUAUUAUUUGAUUCACAUAUUUGAAAUAUGUUCCAUAUCAUAUUUAAGGUGGUACUUAAGCUCUAACUAGUGAAAUGAUUUAAUUGAUAUAAUAUUAUUUUUUUGAGAACUCAAUUAAUGGUUGGGGAGGGGUUAUUGGUGGUUCUAGUCACAUUUUAACUAAAAAAAUAAAGAAAUCAAUUAAAGAGUUAAUUGCACUAAACAUCCCCAAACUAUAUUUUAAAUUGGUCCUCAAACUUCAAAACAUUCUAAUUACAUCCUUAAACUAUCGAUACCAUAUCAACCAUGUCAUUAUAUUAUUGAAACCAUUAAUUUAACUAUUAAAUGACACUAAAAAUGACAUAAUUUAAAAUGAAAAUUGUAAAAACUAUAGUUUUGAAGUUUUUGAAACUUUUACAAAAACUAUCAUUCACUCCCUUUUUUAAUUUUAUUUUAUUUUUAGUUUUUAAUUUAAAAGUUACGCCACAACAAUUUGUUUUUCUUUAAAAAUUUUUAUUUUAAAAUUGUAUCACAUAAAAGUUUAAUAGUUAAAUAAACAGUUUCAACAAUAAAAAGACAUGAUUGAUAUAACAUCGAUAAUUUAAAAAAUAUAAUGAGAAUAUUUUCAAAUUUUAAAAACUAAUUUAAAUUGAGAUAUUUUAAAAAAAUGUUUAUUACAAUUAAUUCUAAUUAAAAUAUUUUAAAGAUUAAAAAGAAAUUAAAAUCCGGAUAUAAAUGCAAUUAGCAAGUUUGAGGGUUGGGGCUCUACUUGCAAGCCCCUGCAACGCCCAUAAACUCAUUGUUUACCAAGUCAAAGCUUAGUAGUCAACUUUUUCAGACCCUAGAAAAUGAAAUGAAUUUUGGCAUUACAUGAGGAGGCAUUUUUAAUAAUUUAUUAUAUUAUUAUAUGUCUCAAUUGUACUAUCAUAUGUGCCUUGAAAACAUAAAAUUCUAUUUUAGCAUUUCAUAUUAUAAUUUCAUAUAAUUGAGUUAGCAUUUCUCAUAAUACUCUUUCCAAUUUUUUCUAUUUUUAGCCCACGAUUUCCAUUCCAACAAUACUUUGGCAAAAACUUCUAUCAUUUUUAUAUAAGUUUACGUUAUUUUAAAAAAUUAUAAUUUAGUUAUUUAUUUAUUCGAAAGCUUUUAUUUAAGUUAUUAGUUUGUUGAGAUUUUCUUUUUAAAAAUCUAGCUAGUGAGCUCUAAGCGACGAUUCAACAACCAGUAGGGUGAAUAAGUACCAAUCGUCAAAUAGAAGAACAUACUUAGAUCUAAGUAGAUUUGACGUUUAGUGACGAAGAUCAAAUAAUAAAACUAUUUUUAUUUAUGAUUAAUAGAUUUGUGACAUUAAAAGUUGUUUCAUGAAACAAAAACUUGAGUUGUAGAAGAGGAGGGGAAUGAGAGCUUUCGAUUAGUCUAGACGGUGCAAACAGAGAAUGGCAUACAUAAGCUGUUUUAACAGUCCAUUAACUCAAAUGAAAACAUUCAAAUAGUUUAGUGAUCAUUUUGUAACUUUUUGAAGUUGAGUGACCAAAACAUAAAUUUAUUAAUAAUUUAUUCUGUUGUUUGAUAGAGUUUCAGUUGUUUUGAAAGUCUGAGAGUGGGAGUUACUGGGAGAAAAAGAGGGGAUUUAAGGAUAAUGACUUUUAUUUUGAAAAUUUCUCUCUUUCUUGGAAAAAUUGACGUUCUUUCCUCCUCCUCUGCCGUCUUUCUUUUUUCUUUUCCAAACGCAAUAUUUUUUUCUCUUUUCGUUACUCAUUCUGACAAAAUCGUGCUUCCUUGUCGCGGUAUUUCUGAUUGUGCACUCUUCGUUUGGUAAGUGGUGGUGAGUUUUGUCGAGGAGGGAGCCUUUGUUAUUCUUUUUGGCCUUGUCGAAUUCUCUGUUAAUGUGGUACUUGUGUUUUGGUAGCAACAAAUCAUGAAAGUAAGGGCUUUCCUCGUUCGAAAUUGUAAUCGAAUCGUCGAGGUAUUAAAGUAAGUGUUGGAUUUCGGUAUUGGUUUCGUAGUCAUGAUUUAGUUGUGAAUUAAGUAUGAUUCUAAGUUUUGGGUUGUUAAUUUUUAGGUUUUUGGAGGCUUAGGAGUGGUUUUGUAUUGAAAUGAUACCAAGCGUGUACCUGAAACAUAAAAAAACUAUUAUCGGCAAAAGCCGAAAACCUUUGUUGUCGAUGACACACGGGCGUGUGGUCAACCGUGUGGAAUGCUGUAUGCGAAGACACGACAGUGUGGUUGAGGAAAGCCAUAUGCGCAACACAAGGCCAUAUGGUGGUUCGAGUGUGGCCAUGUGGGCCAUACGGGCUAGGCCAAGUUGGGUGUAUAGGCCAAACGGGCGUGUGGGCCUACAUGGGCAUAUCACACAAGCAUGUGGAUUUUGGGCCAGAUUGUGUGGGCCACACGGGCAAGGCCAAUCUAGGCGUAUGGGCCACACGGGCAUGUGGGCCCAUUAUACUAAAGUUUUACAAAUGGUCACACGAGUCGUCCUAAUCAACUGUGGGCCUACUAUAGGGUCAGUAAAUGCUAGUUAAACCCUAAAAUGAUAUGAUUUAUUAGACUGAAUUAUUGUAUUGAGCAUGUUUAUGUUACGUGUAUCUGUAAUCUAUUUAUGUAAGCAUGUUAAGCAUGUUUUAUCUGCUAAUUCUGUAUGUAUGCUCUAUAUCUGUUUUGGGGUGGGGUUUGUAUAUGUGGAGAAAGUAUUUUGAACGGCGUUAAAUGCCUAUUUUCUGGCAGUUUGGCUGCAUAUUCUAUCUGAUAUGUGUCUUAAUGGCAUGCCUUGGUGUGUAAGGAUGGGUGAGUGUUUUUAAUCCUACAUGGUGUGAUGGGAUGGUCGAAGAUGGUGUGUAGAGGAUAGGGGUAAGAUUUUACAUAUAUGUAACUGAUUCUGUCACUGUAUCUGAAAAUGAUAUGAGUCCGUAUCUGUAUCUGUUUCUAGUUAUGUACAUGAUGAUUAUAUGCUUGCAUGUUUAAUUCUGUUGGGUUACACAUUAAGUUUACGUAAACUCACAUCUUUUUAAUUUUUCUGUCAGGUAAUCUACAGUCUUAGGUGAAUCAGUGCAGUAGAGACUCAACGGUGGCCACUUUAUCGUAAAACUGCUAAAACUUAGUAUUUUGGUUAAUUUAAAUUUUGGAUUGUUUUAAGAGUUGUAAUUUUUGGGGACUCUUUGGACUAUUGGUUUUUAACUUGACUUUAGAUUUGAUCGCUUGUUAUUUUUCAUGCUUGAUAAAUUGCUUAUGGAAAAUUUUUUUACAUACAAACGUGAUUUUCCUAAAAUUACAAAUCGAAUUUCUAAAAUCUAUUGGUUUGAUAAAAUUCUACUAUAUUAAGUUUUGAUAAAAAGAUUAAUUAAACUGUGUUUUCGAUUAAACUUAGGAAUUAUAAAAUGGUAAUGCUCUGACGAGACAACUUCGUUUUCAAAACCUAUUUCAUGUGACAUAACCAGAUUCGGCCAUAACGUCUAGGCUGAGUUUGGGGUGUACAUUUAGUGGUAUCAGAGCUAGGUUUCAAAACUCAACUGUAAAUUUUGGGUUCCAAAAUUUUAUUUUAAAAGUAUUGAUUUUUAAAUAAUCUAAAUAAAAUAAGGAAGUAUAUGGUACACCGAGUCUCCGAUGCCGAUCUUGUAAGUAUUUUCAAAACUUAGAUAGUUUAUUUUGAAAAUACUGUAGAUCGUACCUUCUGAGACUGUACUGAAAUAGUUAGAGACUGAAACUUCUGAAAACAUCUCUAAACUUUUGAUAAUUUAUGCUUAAAACAUCUGUUAAUAAAUAUUUGAACUGAUGCAUAAAACUUUAUAAUGUAGAUAAAACUCGAAAUAGACAAUGAGUGUAAGUGGAAUCCGCAGACGUGGUACUCGUGGCCGUGGAAGAAGCUGUAGAGUGGCUUGAGCUGAGUUUUCCUCACUGGGCAGUAUGUUGAAUUUGGAUACGAGUGAGACACCAGUUUUACCUACUACUGUGACUGGGUCUCAAUGCUGUUUGACUGGGGACAACGCACUAUCUCAGGCCAUGCUGAGGAUUUUAGAAAGGGUUGUUGGACCCCUUUCUGGUUCUGGAGACAUUGGGUCGAAAACUGAACGACUCCAGUCUAAUGGUGCUGAGUUAUUUAAGAGUGUCACAGGAGUCGCCUUUAAUGUAGCCGAAUAUUAUUUAAAGGCCACGAAGAGGAUUAUGAAUAAUUUGGACUGCACUCCUGAGCAGAAACUGAAAGGUGCAAUCUCUUUACUUUGCGAUGAGGCGUAUCAGUGGUGACUAACGGUUGAAGAGGGUACUCAGCCUGUUCAAUUGAGUUAGAACUUCUUUAAGACCACCUUCCUAAGUAAGUACGUGGGGGCGAGCUAUGUUGAUGCUCGUAGGCGUGAGUUUUUGAAUCUCAUGCAAUGUGACAGAUCUGUGGCCGAGUAUGAGGUCGAAUUUUUGAGAUUGAGUUACUACGCUCGAGGCUGGUAGCGUUUGAGUACGAGAGAUGUGUCCUGUUUGAGGAUGGUUUAAGAGAUAACUUGAGGGUCUUAAUUACUCCACAGAGGAAGCGAAAGUUUGUUGUACUAGUGGAGAAAACUAAGACCACUGAGGAUGUUAAAUGUGUGAAGCGCCAGAAUAGGGAUUGAGAGAGAGGCAAAAACAAGUGGGAGUCGGAGCCCUCUAGUUCUGUUCCGAGGCUUAAGAAAAAGGUAAGAUCUAAUAGGCCAGUUAGAGUGGGGGCCCCUAUUGCUCCUACUGAGUUACAGCCAUGCAAUGAUUGUGGUAGGCGCCAUCCGGGCGAGUGUUGGAGUAGGAUUAGGGCUUGUCUGAGAUGUGGGUUUCUCGAGCACCGUAUUAGGAAGUGUUCCCAGCGGGCAGAUCAGAUACAACCUUCAGUUCCAGGUCCUGUGCAACCUUAGAGGACAGUUCAGCAGCCACCUAGGCGCCGUGGGCAAGUUAGGCGUGGUAACGGUAUGGGUCAUGGAUAGAGAGCACUGGACAGAGGUGCUGGACAGACUGAGGCGAGGCAGUUUGUACUUGUUUAUACUGCUUGAUGUCGAGAGGAUAGAGAUACUCCAGAUGUUAUCACUGUUACGUUCUUUAUAUUUAAUGUACCUUAUACUGCUCUGAUAGACAUAGGUUCUGCAUAUUCCUAUGUAGCUAGUACUGUCUCUAAAAACUUGAGGGUUUCCGUGGAGAGCACUUCUAGUGAUGUUACAGUUCUAAGUCCAUUGGAGCAGUCGGUUCAGUUUAGUAAACACUAUAAGGAUGUUUCGUUAGAGGUUAAAUGGAUUAUUUUCCUGGCGAACCUGGUGGAGUUAUCGCUUGAGGAGUUCGAUAUGAUUCUAGGUAUGAACUGGUUAUUCAAGCACCAAGUUAGUUUAGACUGCGUUGCUAAGAGGGUCGUACUGAAAACUGAGGAUGAUAAGGAGGUAGUUGUGAUCAGUGAGCGUCAAAAUUAUCUGUCAAAUGUGAUCUCCACUCUUGUGGCUGAAAAAUUUGUCCAGAUAGGAUGUGAGGUGUAUUUGGCUUACGUUAGUGUUUCUGUUUCUAGGGACUCUUCUGUCAAUGAUAUCAGAAUUGUAAGAGACUUUUCGGACGUCUUUCCUGAGGAAUUACCAAAUCUACCUCUGAACCGAGAGGUUGAGUUUGAGAUUGAGCUUCUUCUGGCUACAGUUCUGGUAUCCAUCGCUCCCUACCGUAUAGCAACGAAGAAGCUUACAUAAUUUAAAGCUCAACUACAAGAUCUUCUAGAUUGUAGAUUCAUCUUCCUUAGUGUGUCUCCGUGGGAGACACCAGUUUUGUUUGUUAAGAAGAAAUAUGGGACCAUAAAGAUGUGCAUCGACUAUCGGUAGUUGAAUAAGUUGACUGUGAAGAAUAAGUAUCCGCUUUCAAGGAUCGAAGACCUGUUCAAUUAGUUCCAAGGGGCUUCAGUGUUCUCUAGGAUUGAUCUUCGAUCUGAGUAUCAUCAGUUGAGGGUUAAAGAAGCUGAUGUUCAUAAGACUGCAUUUAGGACUCGUUAUGGGCAUUACAAGUUCCUAGUUGUACCUUUUAGUUUGACGAAUGUUUCUGCUACAUUUAUGGAUGUGAUGAACCGAGUAUUUUAGUCUUAUCUGGACCAGUUUAUCGUGGUCUUCAUCGAUGAUAUUCUGGUAUACUUUAAUACCGAGGAUGAGCAUGAUGAGCAUCUUAAGGUUGUGCUUCAAAUACUCUGAUAAAAAUGACUUUACGCUAAAUUGAGCAAGUGUGAAUUCUGGUUGCAAGAGAUAACUUUUCUGGGGCAUAUGGUUUCUGUUGAGGGGAUUCGUGUGGACCGUCGAAAGAUUAAGGAUGUGCUUGAUUGGAAACAGCCUAGGUCUGGCGAGAUAUUAUCUGCAGUUUUUCGAGGGGUUUUCUCUGAUUGCAGCUCUAUUGACUAAGUUUCUGCGUAAAUGUGUUCCAUUUGUUUAGACUGAUGCGCAACAAUUGAGCUUUGGGAAGCUCAAAUCUGUUCUGAAUCAAGCUCUUGUUCUGAUACAGCCUGAAUCCAGAAAGGAGGUUGUGGUUUACAGUGAUGCUUCACAUAUUGGUUUGGGUUGCGUCCUGAUACAGGAUGAUAAAGUUGUGGCUUAUACAUUCCGUCAGCUUAAGACACAUGAAGUGAACUAUUCAACGCAUGAUCUUAAAUUGGCUGCUGUGGUCUUUACGUUAAAAAUAUGGAGGCACUAUUUGUAUGGUGAGAGGUGUAUUAUUUACACUGAUCAUAAAAGCCUCAAGUACCUCCUUACUCAGAAGGAGUUAAAUCUUAGGCAGCGUUGGUAGAUUGAGCUGCUCAAGGAUUAUGAAUGUAUAACUAAGUAUCACCCUAGUAAAUAUGGUAGGCGACAUUUUAAGCCGUAGAGCGAUGACUGAUUUGAGGGCGAUGUUUGCUCACCUUAGUCUGUUUGAUGAUGGAAGUCUGUUAGCUGAGUUGUAAGUUAAGCCAACAUGGAUUGAGUAGAUUUAAGAUAAGCAGUUAGGGGAUGAAACUCUGGGUUCACAGUUCUAUCAGAUUAAGAGUGGUACUACUUUUGAUUUUGGGUUGAAUAAUGAUGGAGUAUUAUGUUUUCAUGGAUGGAUUUGUGUUCCAAGUGAUUCGGAUUUGAGUAGGUCAAUUCUGAGAGAGGCAUAUAGUAGCUCUUAUGUUACGCAUCUCGAUGGGAAUAAGAUGUAUCGGGAUCUCCGUGAACUGUAUUGGUGGCCGGGUUUGAAGCAUAAUGUUACUGAUUUUGUUUCUUUUUGUCUGACGUACCAAUAGGUUAAGGCUGAGUACUAGUUACCCUCAGAGUUGUUGCAGCUAGUGAAUAUUCCCUUAUGGAAAUGGAAACAAGUGACGAUGGACUUCAUUAGUAUGUUGCCCUUGACACCCACUAAGAAGGAUUCUGUUUGGCUCAUCAUGGAUUGAUUGACCAAGUUUCCUCACUUUAUUCCUGUUCGGACAGACUACUCUCUACAGAAGUUAGCGAAGCUAUACAUAUCUGAAAUUGUAAGACUGCAUGAGGUUCCAGUGUCGAUUAUAUCUUAUAGAGAUCCUUGCUUCAUAUCUUAAUUCUAGAAGAAGUUACACGAGACUUUGGAUUUGAGAUUGGACUUCAGUAUUGCGUUCCAUCCUCAGACCGAUGGUCAAUCUGAGAAGGUGAUUCAGAUACUAGAGGAUAUGCUUUGGAGUUCUGUGAUUGAUUUAUGAGGGAGUUGUGAGGAUUAUCUGCAGCUGGCUGAGUUCACCUACAAUAACAGUUUCUAGGCUAGCAUUUAAAUGGCACUUUACUAGGCUUUGUGUGGUUGUAAGUGUCGUACUCCACUCUGUUGGACUGAGUUGGGUGAACGUUGAGUGUUGGGCCUAGAGUUGGUUUCGGAGACCAAAGAAAAUUAGACUGAUUCAGAACCGUCUGAAGGCAGUUUUUAAUAGACAGAAAUAAUAUCUAGAUCUGAAGAAGCGUGAUAUUGAGUAUUCUGUGGAGAACUUCGUCUUUCUUAGGGUCUUUCCGUAGAAAAAAGUUCUGAAGUUCGGUCGUAAAGGCAAGCUGAGCCCUAGGUUCAUUGGGCCGUACCGAAUUCUUAAAUGUGUGGGAUCGAUCACUUAUCAAUUGGAACUAUCUCCAGAGUUAGACCGUAAUUAUGAUGUUUUUCAUGUUUUAAUGUUGAGGCGGUAUUGGUCUGAUCCAUCCCACGUUGUCUCUAUUGAGGAGAUCGAUGUUAGACCGAACUUGACUUUUGAGGAGGAACUGGUCCAGAUUCUGGAUUGUGAUAUUAAGGUUUUGAGAAGGAAGUCUAUACCGUUAGUGAAGGUUCUGUGGCAGAAUCAUGACACUGAGGAGGCCACGUGGGAACCUGAGGACUUGAUGCGUCAGUAGUAUCCUCAUCUGUUCUGAUCAAGUAAAUUUUGAGGUAGAAAUUUCUUUUAAGGGGUAAAGUAGUAACGCCCCAAUUAUUUUAUCCAUUCGUUUGUAAAAAUCUGACACAACUGUGUAUCUGCUUCAGCGGUUAAGUGUUUUGGGUGUGGUUGAGAGGUCUCAAGUUCAAGCCCUAGCUUUAGCAAAUUUUGUAUAUUUUUGGAAUUAAGCUCUAUCUCUGUUCAGUGGGCUUAUAUUUAAUUAUUUGUAAAUCCAUAUCAGAAUGAGUCUGUUGGUUCGAGUGGUAAGGGUGUUGGUGUGUUGGAGGUCUUGUGUUAGAUUCCUUUUGCGAGCGUCGGUAUUAAUUUUAGCCUUGCUAUCUGAUAGAGUUUCUUUCUUGGAAAAAUUAACGUCAUUUCAUCCUCUUCCGCCGUCUUUCUUUUUUCUUUUCCAAACGUAAUAUUUUUUCUCUUUUCGUUACUCGUUCUGAUAAAAUCGUGCUUCCUUGUCGUGGUAUUUCUGAUUGUGCGCUCUUCGUUUGGUAAAUGAUGGUGAGUUUUUCCAAGGAGGGAGCCACUGUUAUUUUUUUGGCCUUGUCAAAUUCUCUAUUAAUGUGGUACUUGUGUUUUGGCAACAGCAAAUCAAGAAAGUAAGGGCUUUCCUCGUUCGAAAUUGUAAUCGAAUCGUCAAUUAAAGUAAGUGUUGAAUUUUGAUAUUGGCUUCGUAGUUAUGAUUUAGUUGUGAAUUAAGUCUGAUUCUAAGCAUUGGGUUGUUGAUUUUUAGGUUUCUGGAGGCUCGGAAGUGGUUUCGCAUCGAAAUGAUACCAGGUGUAUACCAAAAACGCAGAAAAACAAUUGUCGGCAAAAGCCGAAAAACCUUGCUGUCAAUGCCACACGGGCGUAUGGUCACUCGUGUAGAAGGCCAUGUGCGAGAACACAGCCGUGUGGUCUUCGAAAGCAUAGUCGUGCGCAGCACACAACCGUGUGGUGGUUCAAGCAUGGCCGUGUGAGCCAGACGAGCUAGGCCAAGUUGGGUGUGUGGGCCUACACAGGCAUAUCACACUGACAUGUGGAUUGUGGGCCAAGCUGUGUGAGCUACACGGGCAAGGCCAAUCUGGACGUAUGGGCUACACGGGCAUAUGAGCCAAUUAUACUGAAAUUUUACGAAGGGUCAUACGAGUUGUCCUAGUCGACUGUGGGCCUACCAUAGGGUCGAUAAUGGCUAACUAAACCCUAAAAUGAUAUGAUCUGUUAGACUGAAUUAUUGUAGUGAGCAUGUUUAUGUUACAUGUAUCUGUAAUCUGUUUAUAUAAGUAUGUUAAACAUGUUUUAUCUGCUAAUUUUGUAUGUAUACUCUGUAUCUGUUUUGGGGUGGGGUUUGUAUAUGUAGAGGAAGUAUUCUGAGCGGCGUUAAACGCCUAUUUUCUGGCAGCUUGGCUGCAUUUUCUGUCUGAUAUGUGUCUUAAUGGUAGGCCAUGGUGUGUAGGGAUGAGUGGGUGUUUUUAACCCCAAAUGGUAUGAUGGGAUGUUCGAAGAUGGUGUGUAGAGGAUGGGGGUAGGAUUUUGCAUAUCUGUAACUGAUUCUGUAACUAUAUCUGAAAAGGACAUGAGUCCGUAUUUGUAUCUGUUUCCGGUUAUGAACAUAAUGAUUGUAUGCUUGCAUGCUUAAUUCUGUUGGGUGACACACUGAGUUUACAUAAACUCACAUCCUUUUGACUGUUCUGUCAAGUAAUUCACAGUUUUAGGCGGAUCAGUGCAGCAGAGACUCAGCGACGGCCACUUUGUCGUAAAAUUGCUAAAACUUAGUAUUUUGGUUAAUUUAAAUUUUGGACUGUUUUGAGAGUUGUAAUUUUUGGGGACUCUCUGGACUAUUGGUUUUUAACUUGACUUUGGAUUUGGUCGCUUGUUAUUUUAUAUGCUUGAUAAAUUGCUUAUGGAAAUUUUUUUUACAUACAAACGUGAUUUUCCUAAAAUUACAAAUCAAAUUUCUAAAAUCUAUUGGUUUAAUAAACUUCUGUUGUAUUAAGUUUUGAUAAAAUGAUUAAUUAAACGGUGUUUUCGAUUAAACUUAAGAAUUAUAAAAUGGUAAUGCUCUGACGAGGCAACUUCGUUUUCAAAACUCAUUUCAUGUGACAUUACCAGAUUCAGCUAUAAUGUCUAGGCCGGAUUUAAGGAGUUACAGUAGUUUACCCUUAUUAUGUUUGUUAUACCCUAACGUCAAAAUUUCUAAAACAAAAAUAUAUUAAGCAACACCAUUAAAUUAUUGUCUGAACAACAAAAUUUGUUGUCUUAAAUUUUAUGCAACGGUUUUGUGAACGCUAUGUAUGCGACCAUUGCCUAAACUCAAAAGCAACACUAAUUUCAUUUUAAACAAUGAUUUAUUUUAAUGUUGUCAUUAGUAUUUUAGGUAACAGUUUUUUAUUGUUAAAUGCAAUAUUUAUUUGAAAGAAAAAUACUAUUUUUUAUGGCUAAUGCAACACUACGUGGUUGUUGCCUAAAGUAAAAAACAACACUUUUAAAUUUUAAGUAAUGGUUUAUUUUAAUGUUGUUGUUAGUAUUUCGCACAACAUCAUUUUAUAGUUACAUACAACGUUUACUUGAAAGAAAAUGCAACAUCUUUUAACCAUUAUUGCAAUGUUACGAGAGUGUAACCUAAAAACGAAAGCAACAUUUUUUAUAAUUAAUGCAACAUCUAUUUGAUAGAAUAGUCUAUAUUUUUUAUAUUUAUUGCAAUGCUAUUUGGUCAUUACUUAAAAAGUAACUUUUUUUUAAAUUAAAGUUUCGAUUAGUUGGGCUCAGCAAUACGAACUUCAUCAAAGUGGUUACAAGGUCAACACUCUGAGUCCAAAAUAUAUCUUUCAAGACAAAAGUUCGUGGGUUCAUUUAUACAUGAAUGGCGCAGUUGCAAGAGAUACGAGGAAUGCUUCUGCUGGAAGUAUGCUGCGAGAUCAACUUGAAAAUUGGAUUAUGAGAUUUAAUCGAUACUUGGGUAAAUGUUCACCUUUUGAGGCUGAAGUAUUGGGUAUUCUGGAUGGGCUCCUUGUGUAAAUUAUCUUUCUAAUCACGGACGAACUUGUGUAAAUUUUAAAUUAAUUGUUGACAUAAAAUCUAAAGUUGGUUUAAUGUAUUUAUAAAUCUCUUCAUCCAUUGUAAUGUAAUUACUUAUUUGUAUGAAAAGAAUUAAAUUAUCUUAAAUUUAAAAUUAAAUAUGAUUUAAAAAACUCAAAUUUGGUUAUUUCCUUAAACUUCAAAUAUUUGCUGGUGAAAAGAAAUAGUUUUAAAUGUAAGUAUAUAAUUUUUGUUAGGUUGAAUAGUAACAAAAUUGAUUUUUUAAAGUAAGGUCGUUUUCUGUAUGAAAAUACAACAUUGAAAGAAUUUUUCAAUUAAGCUAUUUAGUUGGGAUCCGAUGCUGCUACCAAAUACUUUUUAUCACUUAAUUAUAAAAAAAAUUAUAAAAUUGUUACUAAUAUAUUUUAAUUUGUUUUUUUAUUCUAUUGUUAAAUAACAAACCAAAAUAUGAGGUGAUAGUUUUUAAAAUUAAUAAGAUAAUUAAAUUAACUUUAAUAUUUAAUUAUAAUAGUUGAAUAAGCAGAUAUCUUAUUUUUUAUUAAUUAUUUAACGACUGAUGAUUAGAAAAAUUAAAACUCAAAUACUACUAUUUUUUUCUAUAGAAAAUAACAUCAUAAAGCGAAUCAGCAACUAAUUAAAUCUUAACCCGACAUCGGCCGAACUUGAUCAGCUAAUAAAGUUUCCACUGUAUCCAAGGGAUCAUCGUAUACUUGAAAACUUAAAAUUCCGAGAGUAUAACAUUUAGCCAUACAAUCAAUAAUUUCAUUAUGAAUUUUUGGAAUAUGAUGAAUCUUUACUCUUCAACUCUUCUCAAAAUUUGAUGCAGCAAAUAUAACUCUACCAGACUGCUAUUGUCUCUCCCAUCAAUCGAAAAUAUGUUCAACAAUUGUUGGGAUGAAAAUAGGUUUUUAAUUAAAUAAAUUUAAUUUGGACUGCUGUAAGAACUCAAAUUUACCCGGGCCUAAAACCAUUAACCAGCCCAAACAAAAAAACAACAUAAAAACGAAAGCCCAAAUACAAAAAUUACCAGUCCAGAGUCCAAAAUACAAGUCCAAAUUUUUGCAGACCCAAAACUAAAAAAACUUAGCCCAAAGAUAACAAGCCCAUGUACCUAAACAUUUUUUACAGAAGCCUAAACCCUAAUUUUAUGUGCGCCGCACCUAUGCCCUCCUCGGCCACGUCGCCUGCACCUCGUCCCGAGGCUCGUCUGCAAGCUUGCACCGAAAUGGAAAAAGAAACCUUUCUCCCCUCCAUUGACUAAGCGCCGACCCUGCAAAAAGAAGAAAGAGAGACAGAAACAAGGAUAAUAGAAAUAGUAGCAUAAACGGAAUCAUGAACAGCACCAAUAGUGAAAUAAACAGUAGAAUAGGAAGUUUUUAUUUGGCUAUAAAAGCCAGAAAGAUCAAUGUAUUAAAAAAAAAAGGAGAAGAUUAAGCAAUCAAAAAAGCAAAAACAAAAAAGGUUGAUUUUAAAUAUCAUUUACUUGUUCUUUUUCUUUCGGAUUUCCCCUUUUUUAUUUAUUUUUCUGCUUUUUAAAUUUAUUUUUUGACAAAAAUAUAAAGGAGAGGAGAAGAGGAAGUUUACCCAAACCCCGGGGUCCCGUCCGUCUUCGAAAUCGGGCUCAAAAGGGGAGGAGAGACUUUCUUCUCUUGAUGUUUUCGGGCUAAAGAGAUGGCUUUUAAAACCGUCUACAGUGGAGGAGCGGCGGUCAUGGCGAUGGUGGCGAUGAUGGGUUAAGAAACCCUAGCAGAGAAAGAAAUGGGGAGAAGGGGGGUUGCUCUCUCUGUUUUUUGCAGAAGAAAAGGGAUGAAAUAAAAAAAAUGAAAAUUUUAGUUUAAAUAGCAGUGCACAAACGGUGCCGUUUUGCACUAGGGGUACCAGCAUUGAAACGACGCCGUUUAAGGCGACCUGCGCGCGACCCGACUAGUUCCAAGGGGGAUACGUGUGUUUCUAAAAAGGGUUAUUUACAAUCCAUGUCCCUCCACAUUUUUAUUUGUCUUUAUUUAAUCCGUUUGUUUAUUUUCCCUUUAUUUUUAAAUUUAGCCACACAAAUCUGCUCGAUUCUCAUUUCGGUCCCUGACCCGUGGACGCAAUGGGUAAUGGACACGUGUCCAGAAGCAGGAUUUUUGCCCAUCAAGUCUUCAGAUCUUGUGUUUUUUUUUAAUUUUUGCCCCGUGUUUCUAUUUUAUUAUUAUUUUUACUUCUAAUUUCAUUUAUGCUCCAGUUUAAUCCCUAAACAGUUUGAUUUUUUUUAUCCUACUAUCAUUUAUUUACUCAUUUUUUACGCACAUUAUUUAUUUUAGAUUUGUAUAUUAAUUCUUUAAAAUUGUUUUAUGAACCAUACAUCUAAAUUUGCUUUACCAAUAUUAUUAAAUUCACCUGUUUUAUUUAUUUUAAAUAUUUUCGUGUAUUGACUAUUAACUUCUAUGUAUUAUUUACCUUAGAUAUUUUUUUUUAUAUAUAAAUUAUUUGUUUUAAAUUAUUUUACAUGUCAUCUAUUUUAAAUCUUUACGUAUAAUAUUUAGUUUGAACUACUUUGUAUGUUAUUCAUUUGUAAAUUUUUAUGUAGUGUUCCUUUUAAAUUGUUUAAACACGUGUUACUUUAAAUUUUUUACUUUACAUUGCUUUAUUUAUUUAUUUCAAACUUUUUCAUAUAGUAAUAUUAUUAUUAUUAUUAUUAUUAUUAUAAAUUUAUAUAUACCUUAUUCUUAGUCCUUUUUUAUGGAUUAUUUAUUUACAAAUUUUCAUAUAUAAUUUAUCCUAAAUUCUUUAUACAUUAUUUAUUUUUAUAUAUAUUAUUUAUAUUAGACCUUUUAUUUUAUUUAUACUAUUUAUAUUAAGUUCCCUUUUACAUGUCUUAGACCUUUUGUAUAUAACUUCAAAUUAUUAUAUAUAUUAUUUAUCUCAAGUUGCUUUAUUUUAUUUAAAAUCUUUCGUAUAUUAAUUAUUCCAAAUUGUUAACUUUAAAUUGCUUUUAUAGUUUCUAUUUUUAACCUUUUAUAUGUAAUAUUUGUUUAAAAUUAUCUCAUUAUUUGUUUUAAGUUAUUUUAUAUUUAAUUUUUAUGUUUAUUAAUGUUGCCAUUACAUGUUAUGGAGAUUUUUUAUUUAAAAGCCCUCAUAUUAUUGACUCCCAUCAAUCCUGCCUUUAAUUCAUGUAUUAUUAUUUCAUGUUCCAUAUUCCUUUUUGUUUCAUCUCAUUCAAGUCAUAUCGUGCACCAAAUGUAGUUGUCCAAACAUGGAUCGUUUCAUUCCCAAAAAAUAAAUGCACAUUGCUAAAUGUCGCACUCGUUUUAUUUAAAGAAAGGCAAUGUUUCAUAUUUGGAAAUUUUGAAAAAAUCGUGCCCUAUGUGUUAGGUUUCGAUUUAUUGUUUGACCGAACAACCGAAUAUGCUUUUUAAAAUUUCAAUGCAUAAGUUUUGGAAAUCAUGAGAUGAUUUUGGUAUUGAAGGUUUGAAAUAUCGUGUCCUACGUGCUGGAUGUGAUAUUUUAUUUCUUCGAAACAAGAGAAUCUUAAUCUUUUCAUACUAUUACAUUUAUUUCAAGAUCUUUUUUUUAAAAAAAGGGGCGCAAUAUUUCGUGUUUAGAAUUUUCAAGAAAUUGUGCCCUACGUGCUGGGUUUUGAUUUUUUCGUUUGACCCAAAUAAUCGAAUAACCUUUUAAAAUGCCAAUACAUGAGUUUUGGAAAUCACGAGACGAUUUUGGUAUCGAAGGUUUGAAAUGUUGUGUCCUACGUGCUGGAUGUGAUAUUUCAUUUCUUUGAAACAAUAGAAUCUUAAUGUCCAUUUCAAGUUACCCAAACAUGCAUAAAAAGGGAUCGUAUCUUAAAUUUUAUUUUAAAUCUUUUCAACUCUCGACAUUAAGACAUUAAUUAAUCAAUUAGGUACCAAUUUUGGGCGUUAUGAGGGUGCUAGUCCUUCCUCGUACGUAACCGGCUCCCGAAUCCUUUUUCUCAAAUAUUCAUAGACCAAAAUCGUUGUUUUAGUAAACCAAAAUAUUUUAUUAAAAUGACCAAACUUUUUGGUGAUCCGAUCACACCUAAACAAAAAAAAUUGGUGGCGAUUCCCGUUUUCGUUUUUGCUUUCAAAACCAAAGUCGACGCCCUUUUCAAAAAAAUGGUUUCGACAACAGCUAUUAGAGAGAAAAUGGAGCUUAACAGUAGAGUGACCACUUUGUAACAAAACAAAAACGUAAGUGAUUAAAAUAUAACAUUUCAAACCUAAAUAAUUAAAAUGUAAUCUGAUACAAAUAAAAGUAAUAAUGCGUAGUUUAAUCAAAAUAAUUCGAACCAUAUAUUGAAAAAAAAAUCCAAAUCGUGGGUUACAUCAAUCUUUCCCACAUUGAUUGACUUUUUUUUCAUUUUCUUUUAUUUUAGUGAACAUAUUGUCAGCAGUUUGACGGGCAUUGAGUUUUGGAGUGUUGGGAUAAUUGGCCUAAUGCAAUGACAGAUUUGAUUUUUUAUUUAAUAAUAAAAACAUGUUUUCUAAUCAAUUUAAUUUCGACUUAAAUAAGAGACGAUGGUCCACGUUUAAAUUUUAAAUUUAUAAAAUUUUGUAUCUUUAAAUUAGUUUUGAAAUUUUAGAACAGGUCCUUGACAAGAAAAAGGACUUGAGAACUUAAGUUUUAAAUUUAAGUUCAUCAUGCGAAAUUGAAAUGGGUGAGUUUCCAUCUUACUUUGUACAUAUAUCGUGUAUGGGUUUUGGUCGAUUCUUUUCAAUUUGAUUUGGUUGUUUUGGACUCUCCGUCUACUGUGUUUUGUACUUGUAUUACAUUGUAAUUAUUAUCAAUGGCGGAUCUAAAAAUAUGACUUAGAGAGGACAAACUUAUAUUAGCAUUGUCGACUACAUAUAUUUUUUUAGUAUUAAUUUUCAUGUGUAAUUAUUCAAUAAUUAAAAUAUAGAUGUAUAUUUAUGAUUUGAAAUAUGAAUAAAAUUAAAGUUUAACCUUUUAAUCUUGAUAAUUACAUUGUGCUUCCAAUUUCUAGUAAGUAAUACCAACAUAUCAAAAUCUAAAAAUUAGUAUGAUCUUCUACCAUCUGAAAAAAAAAAGAAAAAACAAACCAAAACUAAAAAAUAUAUAUUUAUUAAACUUUUUUUUGGGUUUAGAGAAAAAAUUUAAAUUUUUAAGAGAUUUAAUGAAAUAAAAUUCAUCUUAAACGGGUACUAUGUAAAUUUCUAAAAAGCUAGACUGCAAUGACCCUUCAACUCAUAAUUUUCAAUAAUAGUCACUCUCUAAAUCCAUUAACCGAAAGGUAUUUACCGGCUUCCAUAAAACAUAAAUUCCACUAAGAAGUGGAUUAAAACUAAUAUUCUCCCCAAAAAUUUGAUCACCAUGCUCUUUCUCCAUUAAAAAUGACAAUUAAUAACUUCAAUCUAAGUCUUAGUGUCCACUGUUGUUGUUUAACCUAAACUUACAAUCUAUUAUUGUUGUUUCUUUCCAAUUGAGAAUUUUGGAAGUGGUCUAAGGGACCACUUUGGAAUUUUAUUAUUUUUAAAAGAGAAAACAAGGAAUCAAAAUUAAGGCUGUUGGAAUUUUUUAAAAUGGUUUUAAUUAAUGGAAACUAAACAACAAUAGAAAGUAGAAACAGCUAAGAUUGGACAAAGGGCAUCUAGACAUUGAACCCCCCCCCCCCCCGCCCCUUUUUUUUUUUUGACUUUUAGGUCCCUUGCUUAGAAUAUAUGCUCAGUUCUUGCAUUCUCCAAUAACCAAUUAUUCAUUAUUUUAUUUUAUUUUUCUUGCUUUUCAUGUUUUUAAGUUUUUCUUUUUCCUGUUUGUUGUCUUAUUAUGAAGCUGUCUCCUUGUAAAUUAGCUUUUUAUGUCUGAAAACGAAGUCUAGUCAUCGUCAACAUUUUGCCUUUUUUUUUUUAGGUUUCAUUAGUAAAUUUUCACUCAUAAAUUAUUUUUCUAUUUUAAAUUGGUUUUUAGUUUUUUCUAGAAGUGAUUUAUAAACUAUUAACGUGCCAUGUUCAUAUUAGUUAAUUUCUUUGGGGGCAGACUAGGACUAACUUCAAGGAUCAAUGUGAAAAUUAAGGAAUAGUUUAAGGGUAAAUUUACUAAAAAAAGUAUUUUUAAAUAUUAAUAAUUAUUAGAGACAACAUCUUUAAUAAUGAUUAGGGACAGAAUCUCUUCAAUUAAGGUUUUUUUUUUUUUAACUUUGAUACUUUUUAUGUCUGUUUUAUAAUUUAUGUUUUAGGUUUAUAGUUGUCAUUUUUAAUAAUGUCUGUCUUCAAGGUUUUAAAUUGUCUUCUUUAGGAUAAUAAUGUGACCUGUUACGAACCCAAUACUUGUUAAUUAAUUAGUAAAUUUUGUGAAAAAAAUGAUAUAAUAGUUCUAAAAUUGGCAUAAUAACAAGCUCGAUUUUUAACGUUUACAUAUUGUGUCGAUUUGGUCAUAAUUUUAAAAAUUAACUAUCAAUAUUUACACAUUAUCUCAAAUUAAUCUUAAUAUUUUUAAAGAUUGGAACUUUAAAAAAAUUCAAAACAAAUAUUAAAUUUAUCAAUCAAACAUUAAAAAAAUACAAACAAUGGAGUAGGGAUGUCAACUGGGCGGCACGGGUGCAGGGAGUGCUCCCUCCGCACUCAUCCACGCCAAGAAUUUUCAUCCCUAUCCCCGCUCCUCGACCUGCUACAGGUACAAAACUCAAAACCAUCCUCGCCAUACGGCCCACAAGACUAAAACCAUCCCCACCCCACCACCCACAUAGGUCCCCAACCCACCUAAUCCCCACUAUACUUGCCCCGCAAUCCACUUCAUAUAAUAUAUUUAUAACUAUCGGUUAAAUAAAUAUAAACCAAAUUUUUAUGAAAAAAGUAUGAAAUACUUAUCCUUCGAACUCCCACUACAUAUGUGAUAUUAUUCGAACGAUCACCGUUUAAAAAAAAGUCAUCACGACCAUUUAAUUGGUAAAUAAAAUAUAACUUCAAUACUAGUUUAAAAAUUCAGAAAAUAAAAUCCUUGCUUAAUAUCCAAAUACAAACAAUGUCUCAAAUACAUCAUAAAUAUAUUCAAAUGCAACACAAGUGCAAUAAUUAAAUAUUAUUAAAUUAAUUAAAUAUUAUUAAGAUAAUUAUUAAAUUAAAUUUUUAUUUUUUAAAUACGUUUAUUAUAUUAUGCAAGACGGGUGGGGAUGGGGUAGGUACAAAGUCAUACCCACGCCUGCCCCACCACCUACGGCUGGUCUAAUUUUUGCCCCCAUCUCACCCAAUUAAAUGUGAAAUGGGACGGACCCAGCAAAACCCUCCCCAUUGACAUUCCUACAAUGGAGUUUUUAAAAUUUUUAUUUUUGUUUUUUAUUUUGUUAAAAAACUCAUUUUAGUUUAAAAAUUGGUUACAUUUGACAUGAUAAUACCCAUCUUUUCUGGUGAAAAAUUUUGAUAGGGGCAAUUUUUUCUAUUAACAAAACCAUCCAAAAUUCAAAACAAAUAAUAUUAAUAAUUAAUUUUAAUUAAAUUAAUUUCAAAAAUUAAAUUAAAUAUUAAAAUAUUAACACUUUCAUCUUUAAAUAUCAAAAUAUAUAACUUUUGUUAAAAUAUACAGAUUGGACAAAAAAAAACACAUAUACAAUAUUAGAAAAAAUCUCAAAUUCUGAUACUAAAUGAUAUAUAAAGGCAACUUAAAAUUUAAAAUUAAGAAAAUACCCCUAAUAUAAUAGCAUCUGGGUUAAUGUACACUUUAGUUCUUGAAUUUAGCAACUUGUACUUGGUACUUAAAUUUUUUUUGGAUCUAACUGGUACAUAAACUUAAAAACCGUAAACUAAAGUGGUACUUUUUUUAAGUACCUAAACUUUUUUUUGGACCUAAUUGGUACUUGAACUUGAAAGCCUAAAUCAAAGUGAUACUUUCUUUUAGAUCCAGUCAAUCCUUGCACCUCAUGAGUAUUAAAAAUGAGAAAAGAAAAUAUUUUUCAAUUUUAUUUUAAUAUUUAUUUAUUAAAAUACAUUGAAAAGUUUUAAAAAACUUUUAUUUUUUUAAUACUCCCAACCAAACUUAAUCAUGGGUUGGGUUGGGUUCAGUUCGAGCUAAUGUAGAAUUUUAGGCUCAUUUUUUAUGCCAAAACUCAUCCCAAAAAAUAGGUCUAAAAUUCUGCUCAAGCCCAAAUUAGACUAAAAAUACUAAAUUCAAGCCUAAUACAAUCCGACCCACCCAUAUUAAUUUUAAAAUAAGUUAAAAAAAAUAUAAUAUUUGAAAAUUUAGCAAAAGAAUGAAUAAAACUUGGUUUGCAUCCUCCAUCAUUGACUGGGGUUCUUAGGUUUUUUGUCUUACAAAAAUAUCUUGAUUUUAUUGAAAUGGAAUUUAUUGCCAUUUGAAGUUAGUUUCCAUGCGCUUAUUUUACAAUACAAAGUCAUGAAUAUCAUUUUUAUUUAUUUUACUAACUCUAUUUAUUUCAUUUUCUCUUCUAUUCAAUUCUCCAAAUUUACUUCUCUUAUAACCAUAAGUUAGAAACAUGAAGAUGUGUGUUUCAAAAACUAGACAAUUAAGGGAAAAAUGAAAGAAAGUAUAGGCACGUGUUUGGGCCGAUCUGUUUAGAAAAUGGGUUUUAUUUUUAUUUUUUGUUUAAAUUUAUUUUUCGGAUCUAUAUUUUUGUCUAAGCUCAUUUUUUGGAUCUAUAUUUUUAUCCAAACUCUCUCACUUUUCGAACGAGCCUUCAGACCUAGACAGGUGACUCGGCUCGUGAUAAGUUCUAACCCUACCCCUACCCCUUUGCUCUCCUUUUUCUUUCUUCUCCCAAUCCCUCACUUUUCUAUUUUUUUUUCCUUUCAUUUAAAAGACGUAUCACUUUAUUAUAAAUUUUUAAAUUUAAAUAUCAAUUAAAUAAAAAAAAGUAAAUAUUAAAUAAAUAUAAAUUGUCAAAUUUAAAGACUAAAGUCUAAAUUAAUCAGACCCAUAUACUUAGAUUACUGUCGGAUCCAUUAGCUUCGUGGAGCAAAGACUGGGUGGUGGGCCUUAAAUCCCAUGCAACUUUGGCAAGUAAAACGGCUACGUUUGUAGUGACCACACCAGUGUCAAUGGGUUCAAGCAUAUAGGCCCAUUUAAGUUUGCUUAUAAUUUUAAUAUCUAAUUCCAUCCUCAAAGAAUCAUUAUCGUAUUAAUUAAGUGUAUUAAUUAAUAUAGUCGUUAAUUUGAAUAUUUAUAAAAUCUUAAUUAAGUUAAUGUACGAAUUAAUGAAAGAUCAACUCAAUUUGGUAAUAACUAAAAUAUCGUUAUUUGUAUUAUUUCGAAAAUAUUUUUUUCUUUUUUAUAUAAAAAAAAUUGAAAAAUGCACAUAUAUAAAGGAUUUAAACUCCAUAAAUUAUAUUUUUAACAUUUUUAUUUUACCAUUUCAAUUAAAGCACAUUGUUAAACGUUUGUUUUUUCAUAAUCUAGUUAAAAAGUUUAAUUUAAUUAUAACGAACUUAUAUUUAUUACACGAUCUUAUAUCUAACUUGUUGAUAAAGCAAAUAAUAUUUAUGACACAUUACAUUUUCAAGAGAAAAUGUAAAUUCAAACCUUAAAAUUAUUGAAAAGAAUAAUCAUGAACCCCAAAUAUGAAACUUAAAAUAACUAUGAAGAAUAAAAAAAGAAUUUAAAAAAAUUCCAAUUAACAUUAAACAAAGUGAGAUAGGUGAAAUAGUACAUAUUAUGAAUUUAUGAUAAUCAAGAACAUAAGUAAAAAUUACAACUUACAUUUUCUAAUUUAUCAACAAAUUGUCUUUGAAAAGAAAAAAAAAUCAACAAAUUCGUUUUGAACCUAAAAAAUAUUCAACAAAUUUUCUUAUAAAAAUAAACGAAUAAAAAAAUCCAGUAAAAUAAAUGAAUAAAAAAAUUUUCCCAUUAUUUUAUCUUCCUAAAGUACCCAGCACUAGCACUUUCGAAAUUACCAAUCUACCCUUUCCAUUCGUUACAGAGGGAAGUAGGCCUAGUCUUCUGUGUUUCAAACUUUAAAGGGCAGGGCGUCUGUACGGGCGGCACCAUGCAAUUAUACUGUAUACACAGCGAAGUGCUUUGAGGGAUCUCAGCCGUUGGAUUAAUCCCGAUCCCGGUCAAAAAAUUAUGCUGCAAAUAAAGUGUUUGUAAGCUGGCUGAUAAUAAACGGUCCACUAAGCUGUCCGGUACCUGACCCGUGAACCGGUUAUGAUUCAAGUAAAGAUUCUGCACGGUCGAGAACAUCGGUGAAAUUCGACCCGAAAGCAUGUUAUGGCUCAGAUCAACGGUCGAGAUCUUCACUUGAUCGCCCGGUUGGACUGGACCGUAAAACGAGUUUCUUUGCAAGUGAAGGUUUGUGAGAGGAAAUGAGAAAACCCGGUCGGGGAUUGGACCGGUGAAACGGUUAAAACUCAAAUCUAGGAAACUUAACUGGUCGAGCCGGGAUAGGACACUGUCCACCGGUCCAGUCAGUUGGUUCCAUGAGAGAGAGAGAAACUGGAGGGAAGGAGAGAAGGAGUUGGGGAGUGAACCGGUGAGAGCGUUCCGUUUUAGGUCCAACCGGGUUAAGGCUUGGGAGAGAAACGGAGGGACCGAACCGGAGAGGUUAUUGUGGCAGAGAAGAACAUUGGUAAGCUCCGGUAAGGUCCCGACAGAACGAGGGAUUUUACCGGUGAGUCGAUUGUAACUAAGAUCAAGAGUUUUAAGCCUUCUCAAUCGACCGACACUCGCCGGUAUAUUCCCGGAGAUAAAAUUCCGAGUUAUCGCAAGAACCCGAAGGUUCUGUAAUUGCGAAAUCGACAUCGGCAACGACCCGAAGACCCGACCCGGAACCAGAGAAAACUCUGUAAGUGCUGAGAGUUUCCCAAUAGCCGUGUCUAACCUUCCGGUUAAACCCGGAAAACCAGCACGCGGGUCACCUAGAUUAAGAGCUAUUACCUUAUCGGACUCACAAUAAACUCCGGUGAAGUUACAAGGAUCGGAGGUGAAAUCCCAGGAAGCAAAAAAACUAGACCCCGGUAAAUCAUUCAUCGACUUCCUAAUCAACUGUAAAGCUAAAAAAUCAAGUGGGUCUAAAAUUGCAAAAGCCAAGAAUCUACAUUGAAACAGAGCAGCUAAAAACAGAGCAUAAGAAACCAAUCUCUUUCUUCCUUGUUUCCCCAUUGAAAGAGCCGAUGGGCGUUUUUGGGUCCACGAAGGUUAGCUUUCUUAUUGACAGAAUACUAUCAACUCAAAGAUGAAAGCUUUUUUAAUGGCUUGAAAGAAAAUGAAGAAGAAGAAGAAGAAGACUGGAGAUUGGGUAGUAAGAGGAAAUGCAGAGUAUUGAUGGCUUAUAGAUACUGAUUACUGAAAAGGGAGUGAAUCAGUGAACGUAUAUUUUUUGGUUUAGUUUAUUAUUAUUAUUUGGUUAUUGAUUUUGUUUCAUUAUUGGGAUAGGUUCGGGAAUAAACGGUUGUCCGAGCCUACUCGUAAGGUAGAAAUUUAGGUUCGGAGAGUGCGGAAGCUGUAUUAGUGCAAUUAUGUUCUCUUAUAGAAAGUAGUGUAUAGAAAGUAAUGUUACGACAAAAGCAAUUAUAUUUCACCGGAUCGAGGUUUAGGGUUGUGAAUUCCAUUCCUUGAUGUGUUAUAUACAUGUAUCAAACAAGUCUAGGAUUGCAUUUCAAUUUUUUAUUAAAAAAUAAGUUAAUUAAUUUUUAUAUAUUUCACGCUAUGUAAAUUAGAUUAUUUUUUUAAAAGAAAAUUCAUGAGCCGCACAAUUUAAAGAAAAAUAUAGCAAAUACUCGUUAUAGAUGGUGAAUGACAAGUUUCAUUAACACAACAAAAGUUUUAGCCUUAGCAUCAAUAGAACAUUAUGACACGUUGACAAUUAACUUUGUCAUAACUUAAGCAUGACAUAUCCAGAGUGAUUGCUAGCACUUAAUACGUUAAGGAAAUCAACUCUGGAUGGUCCAAAGCGACGAGCAAAAAUCGAUAAAAGAAUCGAGCAUUUACUAAACUAGAGAGGACGUCAACAAAAUCAUCCUUAAUAUCACUUGUAAAACUAAGAUUAUAUGCAUAAAGACUAAAAAACGUGCUACAAGAGCAGACAAUACUUAUUAAACAAUGGAAAAAUAAACAAAAAUCAUAUAAAACUUAAGACAACAUAUAUCCAAAUCGACAUGUGAAAUCAUUUAUUAUUUUAAAAUACUCUCAAAACGGAAACAAAUUAAAAAGUUGACGAAGAGCCACCUAUUUUUUAAGAAAAACUACUAGUGGCCGAUGGAGUUUUAGUGAAUGACAAAUAUCAUCAUUUGUCCAUCACAACUUGUGGAGACAACAAAUAUACCUACAAAAUAGAUUCGCAAACUGAAAAGAGAGAAGACAUGUGUAGUGAAUGAAAAGAAGAAGAAAUAAAUGGUUGAUGGGAGAGAAAAAAGGUGGAUGAUAGCUAGCCUAAAAGCUGACACUGACGCUGAGCAAAUCAAAAAAUAAGAAACAAAUGGCUUGGGGAGAAAAAGAUAAAAGUUUUUAGGGUUUUUUAGUUAUUAAUCUCUGCAUUUAAGGAGGAUUUUGAAAUUAUAGGAAAAUCACUAAACCCAUAUAGAAACCCGACCCAUCUUAUUCCCAAUUGACCCGAGAAAACCCAUGCUCGACUGACCCGACCCAUCACUAAUCUAAACAGACAAUUAGUAAGGAUAUUUAUCAAAAUUUCUUAAGAAUAUUUACUAAACAAACACCCUACUUUUCACUACAUUAAUCAUGAAUUUAUUAUAAAAUUAAAAAAAAUUCCAAUGUAAAUGAUUACUUUUGUUUCCUUAUUAAUAUUUUCUCUAGACUAAAAUAAAUCAGAUAAAAUGAUCAUGGGAAUCUUUUUAUUUAAUUAUAUGAUUAUAUAUGUACCAAUUAUUCGAAAGGGUCAACUAUACUCAUGAACACUUUUAUUUAUCUUAAGUUAUAUUUUAGUCACUUAUGUUUGAAAUGUUUUGUUUUAGUUACUUACGUUAUCAUGUUGUAACCUUUUAGUCACUGAACUGUUAAUUGCCGCUAACGUGACAUGUUAAACACUCAUAUUUUUUCGUUUUGAACAAUUUAAUUUUUUUCUUUAUGUUCUUUAAACUUUUUUUUUCUUCUUUAUUUUCUAUUCUCUUUUGUUUCUCCCUUUGUUUUCUUAUUUUCUCUAUAUCUUUUAACACGUCAGAAAGUUAAUUGGCAAAAAAUAUUGUCAAACAUUAUUAUCGUAUCUUAAUAAUUCUAUUAUUGAAUUAUAAUAAUUGAAAAAUAUUAAUGAUAUUGCAUCAAUUUAAAAACAAUGAAAAUAUAAAAACAUUGAAUCCCGUGCAUUAAUUUAUUUUAAGAAAAUUUUUAUAAUGAUACCUUAAUUUCGAACUAGAUUUCUCUAAGACGAGAGGUCUAUCUUUUGCUCAUUGACUUGUUUAGUUACGGAGUUUUUAUUUCUUUUAAUUAAAAAUUUUGUAUUUGGUUAAUUGGAAUUUUUUUUUUUAUUUAGAUAGUUGAAUUCUAUUUGAAGUUGAGUUACAUUUAAGUCUAUUAAUUAAAAAGUGAUCGAUAUUGAUUUUUAAAUCAGAUAUGAAUUUUGAGUUUAUUAAUUAAAAUUUAAUUGACUUAAUCGAAAUUAAAGAGAAAAGAAAUUCGGAAAAAAACCAAUUUAUUUUCAAUUCUUAAUAACCAAAAUUUAUUGUUGACUUACAAUUGAAAUUUAAAAACUUAUAAUUGUAUCCUCAAAAUUUUAAUAUUAUAUCAAUUAUGUCCAUUCAUCGAUCUAUUGUUCACUUAAACAUUAAAUACCAACUCGUAUCUAACCCAUAAAAUAUGUAAAACAAACAAAUAUCAAGUGGUGGGAUACGAUGUUAGUUCCAAAGUGUAGACUGAACCACGACAGAGAGGGCAACCCUCAUCCUUAACCAACCAUUUAUCUAUACAAAGUUGAUGGUACAUAUGUUUGCAGUUAGGAAGAACCCUACAAGUAUCCCCAUCUUUGAACUCUUCCAAGCAUAUAACGCAAUGACACGAUUCGAUUUCUCCCUCAAUCUUGUACUUAACAACGGUCCCGACCGUAAUCGGCCUCGGAACUUCAUCCGGCAACAUUGAUCGGCUUCGCAUGGCGUGAUCAAUUGCCGCUACAUAUCUCGGCAACCUGUUUUCGGUAUCCUCGUCGAUAUCCCGGCAAAAACAAUGGAGCAGCAUCAAGAUAAACACGACCGUGAAGUAUAAACAAGACCAGACAAGAAAUACCAUGAAAAUAAGUAUUAUGAUGAUAAUGGGGAUAGCAAGCAUGACCCCUACGGGUAUUGCAAUUAUCAUGCUGAUCGGUGGUUCCAUUAUUUUGAGAGAUUCGAAGAGAUUUUUUUGGUAUAUUAAUCAACUUAAAGGCAAAUUCGAUUAAGGGGCUAUAUAAAGAUAAGAUAAUAGACUUUUAUUAUAAGUAGGAUUUAACUAUAUAAAUUAAAAUAUAAUAAUAAAUCUAUUCUAAAAUCUUAAAUACUCAAAUUUUAACAUUUAAACUCUAAACCCUAAACAUUAUUUAUAAAUUAAAACCCCUAAAUUUCAAAAAAAAAAGUUGGUUGCUCUAAGCCCAAUCAUGAAAUCUUUUAAUAACGAAGCUAUGAGUUUUAUUAGAAUAAUUACCAUCACUAGCCCAAAACCUAAAUGGAUUUGAGCCAGAUUGCAAUAAGCUUGUAGGAUUGAUUCACAGGUCAAGCUCGCUUGAUCUGGUUGCAGAAUAGGUUCACAUAGAACCCUAUGAACAUGUGUUUAGUCUAGAAGAUGAUACAUGUCUAUAUGCAUGUAUAUAUUGCAUUCUAAUUAUUGAAUCUUCAAAAUAUCACUAUCGUAUCAAUCAAUUCAUUCUAUAAUUAGUUUAGGCAUUAAAUAGUAUCUUAAAUUUGAGGUAGAACAUAUAUAUAUAUUGCAUGAAAGGAGUGAAUAGUUAUCCUAUAUUUUAAUGAUAUUGUCUGUUUUUUAAAUAUGUCAGAUCCAAGUUCUUUAUAUAGUAAACACACACGUAUUUAUUAUUUUGUGAAAUAAAGAUGCUACAUAUCUAAUUUGUAUUGUAUUUAACAACUAAACUGAUAGAAAAACAUGAUUAAUGCAAUGUUGACACUUUAAUCAUUUAUUUAAAAUAUUUUAAGUUUUAGGGACUAAUUUGCAAUUUAUACGUCAGUUUUAAAAUGUUUUGGUAUUAUCCCUUGAAUUGACUUCAUUUUCACCUUACUGAGGUUCUGGAAACAGUCGGAAAAUGUUUGCCCUUAGCAAAACAUGUGGGAAAUUCAUUUUCCUAGAUGGAAAUAAAACAUGCCUCACUAUAAUAACACAAGUUGUUGAAAUUUCAACUAACACCAAUAUACUUUUUAUUUACAAGUGGAAAUUUAUUUAGUCAUAUACUAAAUGGAAAAAUAAAAGUCAAUAUGCUCAAUGCAAAAUAUUGUAAUAAGAUGGGUGGAUUUUUUUAAAUAAUAUUUCGAGUUUAAGUUUUAUUAACGUGGGAUGGUAGCGUUUGCUAUAGUUUAUUUGAUAGGUGGAGAGGUUUAUGCGAUUAAAGUUGAUCAAAGUCUAAGUUCUUUGAGUUAAGAGAGUCAUUUUUAAUCAGUUUACAACUUUUCAUUCAUCGAGUGAAUUGUCACAAACUAUUAUAAUCUUAACAUUGUUGUACCGACAAGUCUUAUGAAUAAAAAAUAUAUAUAUAUAAGAACUGUUUUAUAGAAAUCUAAUCCGACUUAGCUUUGGAUUUAAUCAAAAUGCCAAUAAAAGGUAAAAAAUACCAUAAAAGCUCUUGUAUUAAGAGUCGAAAUGUAUUUUUUCGUUUUAUUAAAAAAUGAGUAAAGUAGUUCAUUUACGUUAGAUGAAAGAAUAAAUUGAUCUUUUUGUUAAAAAUUCAUCCAUUUUUAUUGUUAAAAACCGGUCUCUAUACAUUAGUAUUAAAUACAAAUAACAUAUUAUAUGUCACUGUUUAAUUAUUCUAUGAAUCGCGUUAAUUUUUAACUCUAUUUUAAACAAAAAGAAAUUUUUGAUUUCAUCUAUAAGAAUUAAUUGUAAUCUCCUUUUGCAUCAUCUAUUACCGAUAAAGAAGAACACUGCAACAAGUAAGAAUGUGUUUGGCUCCUGAGAAAAAAAUGACACCAUUUUGAAACCUGGGUAAAAGACAAAAGGUUUUUAGGAACCCAAAUUGGACCCGAAACGAAGAAAAACGAAAAACCAAUCACAUCAUCGAUAAAUAAAAGUAAAAACCACAAAACCAACCUUCGACGAAUUUCCCAACUUCAUUUCUCCGCCGCCAUCUCCGCCGUCUCCGAAUCUUUUUCACCCUUAACUGUCUCUAAUCUUUCAAAAACAUAAAGCCCAGAGACGAAACUUAAUCAUUAAUCCCAUAAUCACCACCACCAAUGAAUUAUUAUCUUCCAUAAUCAAAUUUCCUCCCAAAUGUCCUUUCAUUAUCUUCUCUUCUUGUUCUUCAUCUUAAACCUUUUCCCAUUUUGCUUUGCUGAAAACGACACCGUAUCAUGUCCCUUAAACUUCACCAUCCUACGGCCGGCUCUUCCCAACAGACCCCAACACAACACCACCAGCGAGUGCCAUUACCUCCUCCAAGGCCUCCGCCUUGUCCUCUCCGACUACCUUAAACGCACCGGUUUGUUCUUCCCUCCUCUAAACACCUCGGAGUCCUGUUGGGAAUCUUAUCAGUCCCUCCUCCCAAGUUUCAACAUCCGUUCUUCAUGUGGUCUCGAGACCGAUUGGAUCUCCCAAGGCUGCAAGAACUUAACCACGACGGCCGAAUUCGAAGCUUCGACCCCAAACGCCACUUUAAACGACGUGGUUUUGAAUUGUAACCAGUCGUUACAUGGUUCAGCUUGUGCUUCAUGUGUUCGAAGCUUGGCUAGUUUACAAGCUUUACACUCGGUGAACAGUUCGAUAGCAAACGUGUCUGAUUGUACGGAUUACCCCUUUAUUUACGCAGCAGCUGAAGCUAAUUACUUGGGACCAACUGAUGAAGAUACAGCUUAUUGUUUGUUUUCAAUUGAUUUCAGUAAUGGUGAAGGUAAGAAAAAAAAUGUGAAUUUGGGUCUAAUAAUUGGUGUUGCUAUUGGUUUAGCUGUUUUCAUUGUUGGGUUUUGGUUUGUUUAUAGAAAACUUAAGGAUUCAAAGAAGAAAGGAAGGGAUCAAAUUGGGAAUCUUGAGAACAAUUCUGGGUUGGAUUCCAUUAGUGAAAGUACUAAUUUGGUUAAGUUUACAUUCAAUGAGAUUAAGAUGGCUACUAGGAAUUUCGCAAUAGAUAACAUUAUAGGAAGAGGAGGGUAUGGAAAUGUGUACAAAGGGUACUUACUUGAUGGUUCUGAGGUAGCUUUUAAGAGGUUCAAGAACUGUUCUGCCGCCGGCAAUGCCAAUUUCGUGCACGAAGUCGAGGUUAUUGCUAGUGUUAGGCAUGUGAAUCUUGUUACUUUGAGGGGAUAUUGUACAGCUACGAUGCCAUCAGAGAGUCACCAGAGGAUCAUUGUGUGUGAUUUAAUGAAGAAUGGGAGUUUGCAUGAUCAUCUCUUUGGUUCCACUAAAAGGAGACUUACUUGGCCUAUACGUCAAAAGAUUGCCUUAGGGACAGCAAGGGGAUUAGCUUACUUGCAUUACGGGGCACAAUCGACAAUCAUUCAUAGGGAUAUCAAAGCGAGUAAUAUACUUUUGGAUGAUAUGUUCGAGGCCAAAGUAGCUGAUUUCGGACUUGCUAAGUUUGCGCCAGAAGGGAUGACGCAUUUGAGCACUAGGGUAACCGGAACAAUGGGGUAUGUUGCCCCUGAAUACGCUUUAUAUGGCCAAUUGACCGAUAGGAGCGAUGUGUAUAGUUUUGGAGUAGUGCUUCUUGAGUUGCUGAGCGGAAAGAAGGCACUCAAUAUGGGUGAUGAGAACCAACCUUUAGUGGCUGAUUGGGCAUGGUCAUUGGUGAAGAACGAGAAAGCUUUAGAAGUUAUCGAAGAUGGCAUGCUGGAGUUGGGGCCGCCGGACGUUAUGGAGAAAUAUGUGUUGAUAGCGGUUCUUUGUUCUCACCCGGAAUUACAAUGCAGACCAUCUAUGGAUCAGGUUGUGAAAAUGUUGGAAACAGACAUUUCGGUUCCUUUGAUCCCUGAUAGGCCAAUUCCUAUCGUAGCUCGUAUUGAUGAGAUUGAGAGAUCUAUAAGAAGUAAUGGCUCAGGUCAGUUCAUCAGUUCUGGUGGUUAUCAGAUGUUUGGUUAUGAAAACAGUCAUCAUUCUGAUUAUAAGAUGGGAGGGACAAGUUCAGGGUCUUCAAUAGAAGUUCCUCAUAAACACAACUCAACAUAAUAAAGGACCAUUGAGCUCUCCAAUGGUGUUAUAAGGAUACAAUAGAUUUACAAUCAAGUAACAUUCAUUUAAAGUCGAUAGAUAUAAGGCAUACGGUGGUCAUUUCCAUUUGUAAGUACUUAAAAGGUGUACAUAUAGCAAUUUUUUUUCUCUAUCCAACAUCAAUUGAUUUGUUCAAAGGUGUAUUGUGUUGUGUUGUUUUUUUUUUUUUUGGAAAUUCUUCUCUUCCUGGUCCAACUCUUCUAUUGAGCUUCAAAGCUGACUUUCUUCAUAUAGAAAGGGGAAGGCAAAUUUCAUCUUCAAAAUAAAAUAAAAGAAAAGUUAAUAUAUAUUUAGCUCUAAAUUAAAUAAUUAAUUAUUCUAGUUGACAUUGAACUUAAAAAUUGUUAAUAAGUUGUUACUUGUCGUGGAAAUUUUCAACUUCUCAAUAAAUCUUCGAAAUAUUGAUCAUAGAUGGCGGACAGAUUCCUCUUAAAAGGUCUGUUAUUGGACUUUGUCUUCCUCAUCUGUCAAGAUUUGUGUCAGGUUCAUAAAGGAGGAACACCUUUUACCUAUUCAACUCUUAUAUACAAUAAGAAAUGAAUUCAAUCCCCAUCAAUUGCAAAAUUGUGAGUUUGCAGGGUGGAUGGAAGGUGUUCUCCCUUAAGAACAUGGCGCUAUUCCCGAAGAAGGUAAGAGACAAAGUUCAAAAUUUAUUGAAGGGGUUUGUUGGCCCUCAACGAAUGACACCUUUCUGUUAAAGGAAUUUCUACUCACUUGAAAAAAAGGCUUUGAAGUAUGAUUCAACAAUGAUUGAUGGACUCCUCUUAACAGGCAAGGUGUUGAGCUUAGGUUCCAUACUCAAUAUCAGCCUUGGAGUUUGUAUUUCGCCUUUACCAAGAGCUGCAUCUGGUUCAUGAAGGGAAAUGCCUUCCAUCCUGCAAACAAAUUCACAAAUUACAUUGGUGGAGUUUUAACCCAUAUUCUAUGACAUAUUGGAGUAGAAUAGGUAAAAAUGGGGUUGAAAAAAAAUCAGUAAAUACUUUUUUAGUUUAGCAGCAAUGUUAUAAUCAUAAAAACUUAAACUCCAUCCUAAACAAUCCUAUUUGUCUUUCCAAAUAUAAAAAUUGAAAAAAAUUAAUAAAAUAUUUUAAAAAUAUACGACACGUUAUCUAAUUGGUUUUUUUAAUAUACAUGGAACGAGAAGCAGGUAAGUGAAAACAAAUUUAGUAUAAACUAAGUAGAAAUUGCUGCCUAAAAUAUGCAUUAAUUCUAUACAAAAAUAAAAUAAAAUAGAAGGAAACAACUUUGAACGAAAUUGCCCACUGUGUUUCUCCGCCGUUUCUUGGUCUGCGCUAACCGGCUUAUUGCACAUCAUCUCAUCUUCCAAACUUUUUCUUUUUCCAGUUUCCUUUAAAACUCUCAACGAAACUUAAAAAGUUAAAAUCAUAAUUGCCUCUAUGAAUUGCUAUCUCUCAUAAUCAAGUUCGACCCCUAUGUCCUUUCACUACUGUCUUCUCUUCUUCAUAAUCUCAACUUUCUUCCCAGUUGGCCUUGCUCAAAAUGGCAGCUUACCAUGUCCCUUGACCUUCGCCAUCCUCCAACCCAUACUUCCCACCACCUGGUCCCAACUCAACACCACUUUGGGCUGCAUGGCCGUCCGCCAGGGUCUCCGCUUCGUUCUCUCCGACUACCUAAGACGCACUGGUUCAUUUGUCCCUCCCUUAAACUCCUCCGAAUCAUGUUGGCAAUCUUACCAAUCGCUCAUCCCAAACUUCAACAUCCGUUCCUCGUGUGGUUUCGAAACCGCUUGGAUCUCUCAAGGCUGUAUGGAUUUAACCACGAAGUCUGAUUUCGAAGCUUUAAUCCCAAACUCUACCUUAACCGACGUGGUUUCCAACUGUAACCAGUCUUUGCGUGGUACCGCUUGUGCUUCGUGUACUAGCAGCUUGGCCAAUUUGCUAGCUUUAUACUUGACCAACAGUUCGAUUGCAAGCAUCUCUGACUGCGUGGCAUACCCGUCUAUUUAUGCAGGGGCUUCUGCUAUUUACUUCGGAGCAACUGACACGGCCAUUUGUUUAUUUUCACUUGAUAUCCCUGUCCCUGAUACCAGCAAUGGUGAGGGUGAGAAACAAGGUGUUAGUUUGGGUGUAUUAAUCAGUGUUGGUGUUGUUGGUCUAGCUGUUUUCAUUGGUGGGCCCUGGUUUGUUUAUAGAAAAUAUAGGGAUUCAAGAAAGAAAAGGAGGGAUCGAAUUCGGAAUCUUGAGACAGAUUCUGGGUUGGAUUCCAUUAGUGAAACUAUCGAUUUUGUUAGGUUUACAUUCGAUGAGAUUAAGAAAGCUACUGAGAAUUUCUCUACAGAUAACAUUAUAGGAAAAGGAGGCUAUGGCAAUGUGUACAAAGGGUACUUACCUGAUGGUUCUGAGGUAGCUUUUAAGAGGUUCAAGAACUGUUCCGCUACCGGCGAUGCUGAAUUCGCUCACGAAGUCAAGGUUAUUGCUAGUAUUAGGCAUGUCAACCUUGUUGCUUUGAGGGGGUAUUGUAUAGCCACGACACCAUUAGUGGGUCAUCAGAGGAUAAUUGUAUGUGAUUUGAUGAAGAAUGGGAGUUUGCAUGAUCAUCUCUUUGGUUCCACUAAAGGGAGACUUACUUGGCCUAUACGUCAAAAGAUUGCACUAGGGACAGCAAGGGGACUGGCUUACUUGCAUUACGGGACACAACCAGCAAUCAUUCAUAGGGAUAUUAAAGCGAGUAAUAUACUUUUGGAUGAUAUGUUUGAGGCUAAAGUAGCUGAUUUCGGACUUGCCAAGUUUGCGCUAGAAGGGAUGACACAUUUAAGCACUAGGGUUGCCGGAACAAUGGGGUACGUUGCCCCUGAGUAUGCAUUGUAUGGCCAAUUGACCGAUAGGAGUGAUGUGUAUAGCUUUGGGGUAGUGCUUCUCGAGUUGUUGAGCGGAAAGAAGGCAUUCACUAUGAGUGAUGAGAACCAACCUUCUGUAUUAGCUGAUUGGGUGUGGUCAUUGGUGAAGAAUGAGAAAGCUUUGGACAUUAUUGAAGGUGGCAUGCUGGAGUUGGGGCCGCCGGAAGUUAUGGAGAAAUACGUGUUGAUAGCGGUUCUUUGUUCUCACCCAGAGUUACAAUGCAGGCCAUCUAUGGAUCAGGUUGUGAAAAUGUUGGAAACAGAUAUUUUGGUUCCCCCGAUCCCUGAUCGGUCAAUUCCUAUUGUAGCCAUUGAUGAGAUUGACAAAUCUAUAAGGAAUCGUGAUUUUGGUUUCGAGAAAGGAAGGACAAGUUCAGGCUCUAAAUUAGAAGUUACUCAUAAGCUCAACUCAAAAUAAUAGGAUCAUUGAGUUCUUCAAUGGUGUUCCCUGUUUUGUUUAGACUUUUGCUUCGUGAGCUGAGAGUUAAAUCUGAUGGCAUAAAGAUACAAUAGAUUUACAAUCAAGUUAGAUUCAGUUGAAUUCAAUGAAUAUAUUGGGCAUACGAUAGUCACUUCAAUUUGUAAUAGCGUCUUGUUUUUUUCUCUGCUGCAUGAAUUGAUAUCUUGAAGAAAUGGUGUUUUUUUCUUUUUGGAAAUUUGCUAUGAGCCUUGGCAUAGGAUCUAGUCACAGGUCAAUAUGAGCAAGAAUUCUUAUCUACAGCCUAUGGUUACUCAAAGAGGCAGAUUUUUGCUAUGAGCCUCGUGCAUGAGUAUAAGAUAUGGAUUUGUGUAUAGUGAGUGCAUGCUCAAUUAUUUUUGCAUAUAUUUAGAGAGUUCUUGAACGGUCAUAUCCCUAUACCCAUAUCUGGGCAUACAUGGACACAAUAACUUCAAGAGAUAUAAAGAUCCAGAUCAAAAUAUAAAUGGAACAAGAGAAAGAAGACACAAAUGAAGCAACUAUCGUUCUGUUUAGAAUAUAAAUAUGAUAGUAGUUUACAUAUGAAUCCAGUUAUAGCUUGUAUGGCAUUUCAAUGCUCACAAGUAUUUAGGAACUGAUAAAAUAAGAUAAAUUCUGUUUCUCAAAGCACAUUGACAAGUCCAUUGAAGACCAACCUUCAAUUAUUCCUAUAAGUAGCAAAGGGCUGCAAGCCAUUGAGUAUAUAGAGAUUCUUAAGCUAAGCUUAUAUAGUCACAAUAACAUUUUCUUUCAAAACAUCAACAAUGCUAGGGUUUCUUAUAAUCUUAGGUGGCUUAUAUUGACUAGCUGGAGUUCCAUUCUCUAUUGCUAGUUUUAGUAACCUAUCAAAGCUACCACAUUUCAAAACUGAUAGUGAUAAAGGGCUUAUCUCUCCUUUGUUCCUCUGCACCUUAUAAAUACUUCCUAAACUGUCUUCGAGAUCUGAACAACAUUUUCUAAGGUUUGAUUCCUGCAACUUGUCCUGCAAAAUCAUAUCACAGUCUUUAACUUCAAUAAAGAUCUUCAAUCUCUUAGGACUUGAACCGAAGUCAACGGAACUCGUAAACUCCACAAUCUCUAUCGCCAUGCCCAUAGUAUUUCUCAGUACAAGUUGAAAAUUUUCCAUGGCAGCCAUCAGAUCUCCCUCAGUCACUAUCUCAUUUGAAGUUUUAGGAGCUCGCAUCACAAACUCCAGCAAGGGAGAUGAGUUGUAGAAACCAACAACUCUUACAACAUCACCUAGGCGAUAUCUAUAAAACCCUCUAUAAGUAGUCACAACUACUUCAUACACCUUCCCUACUUCAACACCACAAACAUCCACAGUUUCUUCACCAACAACAUUGUUCUCAGCUAAAUCAAAUGGAAGGAACUCGAAAUAUGCAGCGGUUGGAAGCAUAACAAAUCUAGUCAAAUCAGGUGGUUGCUUGAUAUCCAAGUUAAUGGCCACGCAACACUCUGAUGCAAAGUAAUCCCCACCUACCAGAGGUACCUCCCCUGCAUAGUACUUAAGCUUGGAAUAGUACUGCUUCAUACUACCGGUCAUGACACUUCUAAUAUAUCGAACAUUUGGCCAUAAUUUACUCAAAAUCCCACCCCAAUCCUUCUUUUCAAAAAUCAAUCUAAUUCUAUUUGACAAAUCUGGUUGUGGUCCACCAAGAACCUGAACAACAGAAUCCCUCAUUCGAACAUCAUUAAUCACCGAACACAGGAUCCCUUUUUCAAUAUCAUCACAUAGUUGCUUCCACUUGGAUUCUAAGACCCACAUAGCUUUAAUCAAACCUAUGGCAUAUGGGACAUGAAUAGCAUCUAUAGAAUCAGAAUUUCUAAGACCACAGAGAAGGUGACAGUACAUUUGGUGCUCAACAUUUGAUCCAAGAAUCACUUCCAUGGGGCUGCUGAGAGACAUAAAUAGAGAGCGAUUCGGAUUACUACUACUAUGCAAAGGGAAUGAAGAAGCUGCCAUUACCUUGAAACCCCCUUUCGUUGUUGUAAUGCUAUCGGCAUAUAUAAAUGCUAGCCUCUUAUUCACUUCGGGCCUUGGAGGAAAAAACCUAAAAAUUGAAAAAAAAAAUAAAAAUCAUCGAAUUAACAAAUGUCUUUGAACUGAAAAGAAGAUCAAAUCAUAAUGCACUUAUUUAAAUUUGAAAAAGAAAAUUACUUCCGAAGAACAGCGGCGCUUCCUUGAUGAGCUAUAUGCGACGCCCCUUUUGAAAGCGUUGAAUCAAAGUAAGGUAUCAAUUUAGGCUUCAUUGAACUCGUUCCAGAACUACUCAAAAACAAAGAAGAUUAAAAAGUCAAACAUAUUGAAAUUUUUGUUGACUUCUAAAAGAAAUAAGUAGAGUAGAGUAGAUCAGCUACCUGUAAAAGAAGCAAACGAGAGGAUCAACGUGUUAACAUUAUGAUUAAUGGCAGACAAUUUUAAUGGAAAACAAUCCAAGUUAGUACAAUAAUUUACACGCUUCCGACCCUAUUAGAACAACACAACGGACAAGAGGUGGCGAUGAUCGUGAUCAUCAUCACUGGUGCACUUGUCUCCGUCGGCUAAUUGAUUGAUGUAAUCAGCGUAGUCAUCGUAGCAAGAUAACGGCACGGAGAGUCUAAAAGUGGCGGCGUCGAUCAGGAAAUUGUGAUCUCCAGCACCGGGGAGGUGGCGUUGGAGAUAACGCACGCCGCGCUGGUGUUGGAGGAUGGAUCGGAGAGUCUCGGCCUGAUGACGAGAGAAAUCCUUCGAUGAUUCCUCUAGUUGCUUCAACAACGCGUCGUCUGUCAUCUUAAAGUGAGGCUAGUGGUACAGUUGAUAACCGGGUUCACUUACUGGACAACUUGGUGGUGGCGGUGGUAGCGGAAGACGGUGGCAGUAGAAACAGGCGGGUUGUUUAAAUAAAAAUAAAAAAAAAAGAGAGCAGGGAUUUUGACACGUGUUAUGACUUUUGAAAUUUUGGUACGAAGAAAAUGAAAGAAAGAUGCAUUUGGAUUAUUUUAAUUUUGGACAGCUAGAUUUUAGCUUUAGUCAAAAUGGAUUCGGGUAUUAAAAUAAUUUAAAAAAAUUAGAGGAAUAAAAAAAUAUUUUAAGAUAUUUAAUUAAUAUAAUUAAAACAUAAUCAGAUAUUUUUAAAAUUUAUCUAAAUAUAUUAUUAAAAAUAAAUGAUUUCUCAAAUAAACUUUCGAUAGUUUUAAUUUUUUUAAAUUAAUAAAAUUAAUAAACAUUUUAAAAUAAUUAAUUUUUUAAUUUAAAACUAAUUUUAAAUACUGUACUAGAUUAAUAGAAUUGAAAAACAAAUUAAACCUUUAAAAUUUUAAUUAUAUAUUAAACAAAAUAUUUUAAAUAUAUAUUACUGUAGCAAGUUUUGAAGCAAUUAUAGAAUUCAAUCCCUCAAAAAAAACUAUUUUUAAUUAUUUAUUUUAAAUACUGUUUACAAAAUUUAUUUUUCUAACAUAAUAAAAAUAUAUUAGAUAGAUGGCUUUAAAAAUAUACUGUUUUAAACGAAAAAAAAAUUAAUUUCUUUACCAUAUUAUAUUUAUAAUAUAAAUAAAUCUUAAAAAAAUAAUUUAAUAUAUUUUAAUUAAUACAUACAAUUAACAUAUAUAGCAUUUUAGAUUGUUAUGAUAAAAAUAUUAGGUCGGUUCAAAAAUUUACAUACAUAACAAGUACAAUUAUAUCGACAAAUUCAACUGAUAAAUUGUUAAAAUAUUAAUUGUACAAAAAGAUACAAAAUAUUGUAAGUGAAUCCCUUCUCUUAUUUUAAAUAUAAUAUUUUUUUUCCCAAUAAUUAACUGACUUCACUUACCCAAAGUCCAUUAACAUCAAAGUCCAUCAAUUGAUUUUUGAAAAAAAAUAGUUAAUAAAAUUAAAGGAAAAGUUAAUCUAAUUAAACGAAAAAAAUUAUUGCAAUUAGACCUGAUCACAAGCCAGGCUAGGCUGAUGUUAACUUUUAGGCUUGAGCCCAACCCGACCCGAAAAAUGGACCUAAAACUUUGUCUAAGCUCGACUUGAAUAAAAAAUGCUAAAUCUGAGCCUAACACAACAUGCAUUAAAAAAUUUUAUAUUAUUUUUUAUAUAAAAUAAUAUUUAAAAAAUAUAAUAUAUCAAAUACACUAAAAUAUUAAAAUAAAUAUUUCCUAAUAAAUUAAAAAAAAUUAUACUUAAAUAACACUAACAUAGUUACAACUUAGGAAACAAAUGCCUCUAAUAUAGUAGCAAAAUUAACAAUAAAAUAAGAGUUAUACAAUAUCCAAACAUUAAUAAUAAAAUAGUAGCAAUAUAAUAGUAAAAUGAUAGCAAAAUAAUAGAAAAAUGGCAACAAACGGCAACAGAAUUUUUUUUAGGCCAAUUCAGGUUGGACCUAGCUCAGACCAAAAAUAUUAUUAAGGCCCAACCCAUUUAAAAAAUAAGUCUUAUUUUUUGUCCAAACCCUCCCACUUUUUGAGUGGGCCUGAAGGCCUGGACAAGUGACCCGACCCAUAUCAUGUCUAAUUGCAAUGACAAAAAAUAUAUAUUAUUAAAUUUUAAAUUGUUUUCCUUUCAGGAACUAUGUACAUUACGCAUAUAAAUCCCAAAUCAAAUAUAACUCGGUAAAAAUAUCAUGGGAACCUCUGUAUUGAUAGUCAGAUUGCAUUUUGUCACAUUUACUCAAAAAAUAGACAAAUUAGUCACUAUACAUUAGAUCAAAAAGCAAAUUGAUCAUUUCAAUUAAAAUUUUCAUCAAUUUUUGCUGUUAAAAAUUGGUCUUUGCACGUUAGCAUGAAGUACAAAUGACAUGCCACGUGCAACAGUCUAAUUUUUUUGUCAACCAGACCAAUUUUUAAUAAUACAAAUUGAUGAUAUUUUAAAAGAAAAGACCAAAUUGCUCUUUAAUAUAAUGUACAGGGAUUAAUUUGCCUAUUUUUUAAAUAGAAUGAACAAAAUGCAAUCUGACUCCUAGUAUAAAAACCUACAUGAUAAUUUUACCAAUAUAACCCUAUCGUUUCUAUUUCAAAAUUAUUUAAAGCAAAUUAUAAAUUUCCCGUCAUGUAUGUGUUUUCCAUAUGCUUUUUGAUGGAGAACUGUCUGCUGUAAUCUUCACGACUCUCUGUUUCGGUUGUUUCCGUCGCUUCCUGCUGCCAUUUUCUUUGACAUUUUCAUCUGUUUUUACUACGUCGACUUUCACUAUGUGAUGAUCUGAAGUCCCUUUUGAAGACAAUACCGAAUACGAACCCGGAACGAAUUUGUACGGCGAAUUCGGAGAUGCUAGUAUGUAAUCAACCCGAGUACCGUACUUGCAUGUCCCUUGCACACCUGCAAGCAUAGAAAAAAAUAAAACCAUGCUCGCAUGACAUUCACUGAGAAUUUUAAUCAAACAGUUGGUGGGGUUAUUUUUUUACUUUGUCCUUUGGCAAUCACGACGACGGGCUCACAUUCCCCUGCGAAAUCCUUGGCAUCAGUGUACUGUUUAUUCUUUAGGUAUUUCAUUACUUCAACCUUUGGUGUUGGUUUACCAAUUUCUUCAUAGUACUGUAAAAUAUAAAGUACAUUUAUGGAUACGUUGCUGCUUUCGGAAUUGGGAAUUAAAAUAGGUAAACUACAUUAGUAGUCACUUAACUAUGGAAAAGUAAUAAUAUGGUCAUCCGAUUAUGAAAAGUUAUAAAAAUUUUAACCAACUAUUCAAUUUUAUCAUUUUUUAUCACCAAUUUUUAAAUUUAACAAAAUAGAAACUUUAGCCCUCAACAUCCAUAAAUUGUCAAUUUAGUCACGAAUCUAAAAAAUUUAAUUCUCAACAUUUACACAUUAUGUAAUUUGUUAUUUUUGUUGCAAUUUUAUUUUUCUUUGUAACAUUGAAGUUUAUUUUUAGAAGAAUGAGAAAAAACGAAAAAAAAUGAAAAAAAAAUAAAAAUUAUUAUCUUGAAUUUUUUAGUGUUAUCAUUUUUUUAUAUUUUCAAUUAAAUUUACCUGAUAAAUUUAUUUUUUUAGACUAAAUUAUACAAUGUGUAAAUGUUGAGAGUUAGAUUUUUUUUUAAAUUAACACUAAAUUGACAUAAUGUAUAAACAUUGAUGGUUAAAAUUGUUAUUAUACCAAUUCUAAAAACUACCAUAAACCGAUGAUCAAAAAGACAAAAUUAAAUAGUGAUGUGACAAAAAAAAUAUUUACAAAUAUUUAGGUGACUACUAGUAUAGUAUUACCUAUUAAAAUAUAACGGGGCUCCAUGGAUAUUUACCUUAACAAUAUCAGUCCAUCUCUCUGUGGAGUAAUCUGUUUCCUCCAAGGAAUUGAGGCCUCCAGCGAAAAUGUGUGGACCAUCGUCGGAUUGAAUUAUUGCGUUUAUCUGUUUCAUGCGCCAGUUCUCAUCGAGAUGAUCGAGCUGAGUGCAGUGGAAGUCGAUUUCACCUGUUUGGGGCACAUCAAUGGUUGCUUUUAGGACAUUCCUGUCGUCAAUUAUUCCAAGGGAAUCAUUAGCACAAGUUUUUAGUUCCUUCACUAGUAGAUACAUCAAAACCUAAACUCAGAAACUCGAAUAUGAUUUAAUCAUAAAAAAAAAUUAAUAAUUUGAAUCUCCUAGAAAGGAUUCAAAUCUAAAAUAAUUUGUACUUAAAAUGACUCAAAAUAUUUUGAAUUGAGUGUUAAACCUAAAUAACCAAACCCAAAAUGAUCCGAGUGUCAAACUUAAAUAACAAAACCAAAAUUAUUUAGACUCAAAAAAUUCGAUUGACAAAUCCAAAUUAUCUAAAAAAAAAUAAAGUUAAACCCGAAAUAACUGAACUAGAAAUGAUAUGAACUCGAAUUACUCAGAAAAUUUUAAAAUCCAAAAUGAUUGAUCCAAAUUCACACGACCUAAAAUUAUUCUAUUUCGUUCAAUUGACAUGUCUAGUUUAAUGUCAUGGUUGGACAUUCUUCCCCAAAUAAUUAGAAAAAGCUAGCCACCCGUUUAGGUAAUACGUUAAUGUAAUUUUUGGCCACCCUUGAACCUAACAAGUAAAUCUAUACAUGGGUCAGGCUUGAAUAAGUUUUUUUACACUUCAGAUAGAUCUGACCCGAAUUGUUAAAAGUUAAUUUUAAUUAUAAACAUAUACUUUUUAAAUUUUUGAACAAUGAAACAAGCUUUUUAUAAUUUUUUUUAGAACCAAGCCUCGAUUUGUCAACCCGACCCAUGGACACCUCUACUAAUAACUAAUUGUACUUUUUUUUAUUCACUUUUAUACCUGAACUAGAAACAAAGUCAACUUUAAUACUUAAACUUAAAUACUUAAAUAUAUGAUAACGUGACACUCUUAUUAUAUUAGACAAUUAAACAUGCGAUCUAACAUGGACUACAAAGGCAUUGCUUAUAGCUAUUAGUAAAGAAAUUUCAAAUAAAGUAAUUUUUCCAUUAUCUUUUUUGCAAGGUUUUUGAGAAACAUUGGUAAAUUGUAGUGUUUCAUUAAUUCAUCUAAAUAUAGAUAUGCCAGCAAUACAUUUUACCUAACUUUUAAUUUGAUAUACAUUCAAAUCAUGAUUUCGUUUUCCCAUGAAACAAACAGAAAAUAGAAGUUGGAAAAAGCUUGUAGCACUAUCUUCUUCUCCAGUUUAAGUAAUGUUAACAACUAUCAUUCACUUUUCAUCAUUGUCACAAUUCUAUAAUUUCCCCACAAGAAAAAAAACAAACAUAGCUAAAAACUAUGUGUUUGGUUAAAUGCUAUUUUCUUUACUAACUUUACCCACAAAGUCCACAUAACCAUUGAUGUUGAGUGUCUAUUUAGUGUUUUUUUUUUUUUAAAUAUUCAUAUUCAAUAUAGGUAUGAGGAUAUGUCACUCAAAAAUAAGAUGACAAAGGGUGAGGUGUGACUAGAGCGAAAUCAGAAAAUUUUUUUAGUUAAAUUAAAAUUUUAUAAAAUUUAAAGGAUCAAAAAUAGAAUUUUACAUUUUAAAGGGAUCGUCUCUAUGAUCCCCUCCCUUAGGGGUCGCAUCUAGGUGUGAUGAUUUUUUAUUUGUCUAAUUUUUAUACCUACACCCAACCAUUAAAAAAAAAGGAUAAUCCUUUACUCUUACUUUGCUCACCUUGAAAUAUUAAAUUAAUAUUUAUAAAAUUAAAUAAAAUCUUAGGUUAUGACAAACAAUAUGAAUGAAAAAAAUUUAGGUAAAAGAUAUAUUUAUAAAAAAAGUUUAUAUUAAAACUUUUGUUUAAAAUAAUUAAGUUAGAAGUUUUGAAGAUGAUGUAUCUUUUAUGUUCAAAUCCCAUUACAGUAAUAUUUUAUUAAAAAUACUUUUAUAUUAAAAUUUAUUGCUUUCAACUUGAUGUCUGCUUGACUCAUAACACCAACUCAUUAAAACUUUAAAUAAUAGAUAUAUUAUAAAAUCUUAUAAUAAAAAAAUCUAAUUAAAAUAUAAAAAUUAGUCAUAUAAAAUUAGUUAUAAAGUAAAUGAGGGGUAUUUUGAGUAGGUAAAAAUUCAAUCUCAACUUAAACUCAAAAAAUUUAAUUAAAGCCAACCCAUUAAGUUCACUUUUUCAAAAGGCUUCCAAAUACAUAUAUUCAUUCGAAGCUCUCGAACCCAACUAACGUAGGGUUAACUAUUACUUGCAGUGAUAAGACUUCAAUUAUUGGAAGAUAGGUAGGAAAGUUAGCCCAAAUGAGAAGAAAAAGUACAAAAAAAAAAAAAAGAGUAGAAAAUUCUGGGAAAAGAAAAGGAAAAAUAGGUUGGAGCUGCAAAACAAUGUGGUAAUUUUCUUAUAAAUUUUUUCCCUUUUGGGUAAAUGGGAAAAUAUCGGAAAAAAAAUAAAUUAGUGUAUAAAAGAUGAAGAAAGUGGGUGCAAGUCCGUUUAUCCUGUCAAACAAUAUACAGCUGUUUAUGAAAGAUAAUUGUUUGGAAGUACAUGGUUAUGCAAUGACGAUGAAGACGAAAAAGAAAGAGUUGAAGUUUUUACUUUAAAAUUAUUUGAUACUUGAUUUGGCAGUGUUCAAGGGACCAUUCUUGACUAAAAUGAUUUGGAUGUCGGUUAGUUUUGUAUAAGUCAAUUUAAAUAUAAUUAUUUUUUAAUUUUAAAUUUUCGAACUUAUUUUGUGUUAAAAUUUCGAGUUUAGAUUAAUUUAGAAUUUGAAUUGUUUCGAGUUUUAAUUAUUUUUGGGUUAAAGUUGGGUAAUAUUGUUUAUGAUUAAUUUUGGUUACUAGUUAAAUUAAAAUCUCAAGUUUGAAUCAAGAUUUAUAAUAAAUGAUAUUUUGUGGUUAAAGAUUUCAAACUUAAAAAAAAAGUCUACUAAAUGUUAUUGUCCUUCAGGGUUUGUUUCCCUACUCGAUCAAGAACUAGAGUGCUUGAAGAAUCUACCUCUUUUAGCCCAUGGGUAGUAUACUUGACCAACAAUGCCCUAUAGAUUAUAAAGUAUGGGUCUAAAUCCAUCCAAUGGUAAGUGAAAUAUUUUUAUUAUGUGAACCCACCAUCGUUGUUUUUUCAAACACUCAAGUUCGGGGGACAAACUUUUAGGAAUUUCUCACAUAAAUACUAAAUUUUUCAAAAUCAUCGUAUAAUAACCUAACAUUUACAAAAGUGAUCAAAUAAAUAUUUUUCAAAUAAUUCAACUCAAUUUAUAGUAAAAAUGUUAGACUUUUCCAAGAGUCGUGUAGUCCGCCCAAUCCGAUAGGCUUGGGCCAAGUAUUUUUCACCUCGAAUUAACUUAAAUUCAUUUUAAAUAAUAAAAAAUAUUUUUAAAAAUUUAAAAUAUUUUUUAAAUACUUUAUUAAUUUUGAAUAGUAAAACAAGUUGUUUUAGCAAGUCGACCCAAAAGUAAAAGUUUGGACUUUAAAAUUUUUUUGGAACCGAGUUGAUUCAGGACUUUCAAAAAAAAUUUGAUAUUGAAAUGUUUUAAGUCUUAUGCGAACAACUCUAAAAAGUUGAACCAAUUUAAAUAUUUAACUGUUCCUUAAAUACUAUUCAAAGGGUGAAUAAAAAAAUAAAAAUAAAAAUUGAAAACAUUUAAAGACGGUGAAGUAAAAGAAAAUUUACUCACCUGAAAUCUGCGUCAUCAAAUAUCUUCUGCACUUUCCACCGCUUAAUCGGCCACUUCGAAAGCACGGCGUUGCCGUACUCCGGCGCCCAACUCUCGGCAAACACGUAGUUCAUCCCCAACGCAGCUGCUAAAUCCGACAAAGGUCUCAUCCCUUUCUCUUCCUCCGCUUUCACAUCUUGCAAACCCAAUAUAUCUGCGUCCAAUUCUCUCAACACUUCCAACACCGUUUUCCUACUUCUAUAACCUUCCCAAUCAUCGAACCAGUUCCCCAAAUCCGUCGAAAAACUCACCGGAGCUUUACAACGACGGCGACCACCACCCUCCUUUUCAUUUUCCGAGAAGCUCAAUUGCCGGUUUCUCAGCAACGAAAUCUCAUUAUCUGGUAAAUUAAUCGACACCCUCAGCUUAGAUUUCACGAAUUUUUGUUGUUUCGUGAGACUAUCGUUUUCGUUCAUGGAAUUUUUGUUGUUUGUAGAUUUUGUAAAACCUUCAUUAUCGUAGUCAAAACUCGAAGAUUUAUCUGGUUUUGGCAUUGCAGGUGCCAUUGAAAACAUGGCGGCAUUGAAAGUCGCUAUACGAAUUGGCCUCGCCGACGCCGAGUUUAAAACACCCGAUUCGCCAUUUUGGUGAAUUUGCGAACCUCCAUUCACGGUAUCAUCGUGAGGUUUGGUGUAGACUUUAAUGACGAUUUUGGAAUUUGAACGGCAACGAACCGGCCAUCGGAGACGAGGGAAAAGGCCUUUGAUUCUUUUGUGGAGGAUUUUGAGCAUAGUGGAUAAAUGGGUUUUGAACAAAAUGGGUUCUAUAGCUUUUGAUGAUUGCAUGAGAAAUUGAAAACAGGGAAAAAUAACGAUGAUGAAAUGAAAUGGAAAUUGAAAGCUAUUUUUGUAGAGUUAGAACACUGGUUAGAGGUGUAAGAGAGGAAGGAGUCUUGCUGGAAAGGGUUUGGUGACACUUGGGUAAACACAAAGAAAGGGUUGAAUUUUUAAAGAUUCUAAAUUCUAAAUUUUAUAACUCGAGUUGAGUGAUAAAGAUGUUCGAUGUUCGGAUCUCAAAAUCAAAUCUUUCGAUUAAUUGGAUAAAUCAAUUCAACUUGUUAAACUAAGAAUUUAUGGUCUAACUGAUAGUAUAAAAUUAGAUAUAGAUAAGAUUAUUUGUGAAUCAGUAAAAAAGUGAUGACUAAACCACUUUAUAAUUUUAUUGAUUUAAUGAUUAUUAAAUUAAUAAUUGAAUUAAUCAAAUUAAAAAUUACUUAUUUUAUUUAUCCGAAUUUUAGAACCGAUUUAAAAAAAAUUAAAAUUUAAAGAAUAUAAAUUUGAUGAAAGAUUAUGGAAAGGCAAUCUUUUUUGAAAGGAAAAUUUGUGGGAGAUUAAGAUAAUGGGAAAAAGCUAACCACUCCAACUAAUAUGCAUUUAAUUAUUGAUACUAAGUCUUUAAUUAAGAUUCUUAUCCUGCUUACAAAAUUCCCAUGCAGUUUCCUUAGUGGAGCCUACCAUAUUUGAACUCAGAGAUCAAGUAUUGGCAAAUGACUUGCUUUCAUAUCCAAACAAGAUUGAGUUGGUGUGGGGUUAGAUUUGUUGAUUUCCUCCUAAAUUCAAUUCCAUAAUAAAAAAUUAUUGAAAUUUAAAGUAAUUUAAAUCUAAAAACAAACUUAAAAUGAUUCAAAUCUUAAGUAAUGUGUUGAUUAAGUCUUAGUUUAAUUGAUAUGGGUAUUAUUGCCAAUGCAGGAGGAUGUGGGUUCGAGUGUUUUAAAGUACAUUUUCUUCCUAUUUAUAGAUUGGGAGAGUUAUGAGUAGUUCUAAGCCUGUAACCGUAUUUCCCCUUCAUUUGAUAUUUCAUCUUAUUUCAUACUCCAAACAAAAUAAGGAUAGGGCAAAUUAAUGACAUUUUCUAUUUGCACCACCUGCAUUAAUCGAAAACUCUCAUCCCCUUCUCUUUUACAGAUCAUUUUUUUUAUGAAAUAAUUUUGAACGUCAUGAAUCUACGAACCAAAAUCUAAACAAUUUUUUUCUCCGAUCUAGGUAUGUUCUUCUACUCAUCGAUAGAUAUUAAACCACAAUACCGAUUAUCCAAUUGUCGCUUAGAGCUUGCUAGCUGGACUUCAAAAAAAAAAAAAAACUCAGCCCAAUAACUUAAAUAAAAACUAUCAAAUAGUUCAAUGUUUAUUUUGAGACUUUUUGGAGUUAAGUGAUCAAAACAUAAAAAUGUUAAUAAUUUAAUUAUAUUAAAUGUAGUUUACAUAAAAUAAAAAUAAAAAGAGAAUUAAGAAGUUUCCAUUUUUGGGCCCAAAGAACAGCUUGUAAAGAUCAAAGGAAAAUUAAAUUUGGCUUAAUAGAGAAUCUUGGUUUUUAGAGUUUUUUCAGCGUGUUCAUAUUUACAAGCUUAUAUUGCUUGUAUCUUUAAAUGAUUUGUUUACAAAGGUAAAAUUUUAUUAUUAGUCCCUAUAUUAUAUGCAAGUUUUGAAUUUUGUUACUUCAUUAUAAUUUGGUUCAUUUUUGUUUCCAAACUUUUUAAAUUUUAAAAUUUUAAAAAAUCUACUAUUAAUCGUGUACUAUGCAUAAGGUUUGAAUUUAGUCCUUAUUAUUUAGUUUGAUUAUUUUUAGUCCUUAUUCAAACAAUAGUCAUUAAUCUCAUUAACUAAAAUAACAUGCUUUUUAUGAGUAAUAAGGGGAAACAACAUGGUAACAUGGUAUUACACACGUGAGACUAUGUUUAUCGUACGAUAUUUAGAAAUAAUAAAUUUAAUGCCAGUUAAAUUCAAAUUUAGUGCAUGUACCACGCGUAAGUUGUUAAAUUUUUCCGUAUAUUUUAAUUUGAUCAUUUUUAAUCCCUAUAAUUUUUUAAUUUUAAAAAUUUUUAUUUUUGACCAAACGGUAGUUGUUACAUUCAUUAUGUUAUGCUAUUUCCAAAACUUGACACAACAAGCAUAUUAUUACAUAUGUAAUCUCAUGCUAGCUUGUUAUUUCCAUAUAUUACUUUGAGAAAAACAAGUUCAUGGAUUUAACAAUUGUCAUUUGUAUCUAACACUAAAAUAUUGAAAUUGAAAAGUAUAUGACUAAAAAUCAUCCGAAUAGAGGCCAUGAACUAAACCUACAGCUUUACAUAUAUACAAGGACUAAUAACAAAAUUUAAUCAAUUGAAUUUAAAAGACUAAAAUUUCAAAUUUCUAAAAAUGUCAAAAGAAAAAUACAUUUGACCAAAUUAACAUAGACUAAAUCUAUUAUUUACGCAAAAUAUAGACACCAAAAGUAAAAUUUAACCAUUUAACACUUACUAAUUAAGUCAUGGGCUGAAAUUUCAAAAUUUAAAAAAAAAAUACAUAAAAUAAAAAUAAUGUGCAUAAAAUCUCAUACACCAUCGAUAAAAAAUGACACGAUACAUUUUCAUUAAAUUAAAUAAAAAAUAUAAAGAAGUUAUAAAUAAAUACUAUUAAUUUUAUUUAUAAUUUAAAAAUUUAAGAUUUAAUUAUAAGCAAUAGUAGAAUCAUGGUAGGUCCCAUGAAAGAGUCCUUGUAUGGCCUGCAUCGCACAGAUAUAAACAUAAGAGAAUUGUGUGAAGAGGGGACAAAAGGGCAUCCACUAAAAGUAUGGUAUGGUUAUAAAAAAGAAGUGGAAAAUGAUUUGUAUUUAAGACAAUAUUAAAUAUGUGGGUCUACUUCAGAUUUGCAUUUUCAAGGAAGAUACCACAAGCUUCAGUUUUGUAAUUUUUGUUUCUUGGGACAGAAAUUAAUAUCUGAGGAAUAUUGGCUUUCUUCUUAAAAUUAUAAAUAAUACAAUUAUAUAAAUUACAGAGAAAUAAAAAAUCAUAACAACUGCACAUGAUAAAAUAAAAGUAGAAGACUUAUACAUGAAAAAUUGAGUUUAGAAACCCGAAGAUCCAAGGCUUCAGUCUUGAUAAUCAAUAAUACCAAGAUUUCUUGCAAAUUCCAUGGUUUUGUUGUGAUUAAAAAUGAAACCCAUUAGAGAUGUAAUUUUUUUCUUUUUUUCCAAAAGUUGAUUUCAUAAAGUUUUACACAUACCAAAUGCCAACAAAGCCACAAAUCCAGUUACAAUGAACACUUGUACUAGACAAAGCCCCAAAAAGCUAAUAAAUUAAUUCUUUAAAAAGUCUUCCCACCGAAUUUUAAAACAAUAAAAACAAACAAGAGAUCCUAACAAGUUAUGACGAUUUUUUCAAUCAAUAACACUUUCAGCGGUGAGUUUUUUUUUUUUUUUUUAAACAGUUCCUUGCUCUCGUGGCAGUAAAAACAUCUUUUAACUUGAAACAACAAAUGUAAUCUCUAAAAAUAAAUCACAAAUCACCCAACAGAUAAAAAGAAAACAAGUCACCACAAAACUCAAGCGACAAACUCCACAACACACAAUCACCCAAACAUUAUUCUCAUAUAGAUUGUACACUACAAUUUUUUUUUUUUUUUUUUUGUGGACAAAAUAUUAAACCUCAAAACUCAACAAAUGUUCACACAGAGCAUGUUCCACAUGGGCCAUGUUUUACCUAUUCACCCGUUAUUGCAUUACCACUUUGACAACAAUUAUUGAGAUUUUUAUAAUUGGGUCAAUUCAUUGUAUAUUAUAUAUAUAUGUGCCUCUUAGUCACUUCUUAGUAAGGUCAAUUCAUAUACAUAUAGACAUAGUUCAAAGGAUUAUUCAAAAAAUAUAGUUUAAAGGAAAAAAGGAAAAUGCUAUUUGCCAAGGUAUCCCCAUUCUAUCAAGUGGAAAUAUAUAUAUAUAUAUCAUCUAUAUGUAUGAAUAGAUCAUCCCUGUAUUAAAAAUAGGCAGAUGUUACAAAAGAAUAUACUCCCUUUCAACAUAUAUUUUUCUUUUGUUGUUUUUAAACUGAUAUAGUACAAAUUAUGUACACAAUCCCUCCCAAGAAACCAUUUCUACUCUUUAAUAUUAAGCAAUGGUGCUUUUCUUUUAGACCAACCGUGAAGGACAAAGUUCAAAUAUAGCAAGAACCUGAAUUGAAGUUCCAUUUCAUGGCUGUUUUGUUCAUGUUUAGAGCAGUGUAGCAUUUAGCAUUUUCUCCAACAUGGUAAUCGAAGAGACUAUGACCACCAUAAAGCUUCUUGGCCACCGAAGAAGAAGCACAAACCAAUAUUCGAUUGAUUCCGUAUGUCCGUAUGUUUUACUCAGCUUGUUUCGUGAAUACCUGUGAAAACUCUUGCAACCGAAAGUGCAUCAGUGAUGGUGACUAGUCAGGUUUAGUGUACUCAAGUAGCAUGUGCGGUGAUCUGUAAAUCUUCACUAGGGUCCAGUAAAGGACCUCUUCGACUCCAAGCUCACCCUCUGCUCUUGCAGCAUAUAUAUCCUCACAAAUGGCUAUCAACCUACAUCAAAACCGGAUAAACGGGUGUAGGUGAAAUAAGAAAUGAAUGUAAAUGUUCUCCAUGCUUUCGUCCUUUAGCCUUCGGCAUAAGGAAUUCUACCAUAAAAUUUUCUUAUAAGGAUGCAUAUAUAUAUGUACGUGUAUAUAUAUUACCUGUCACAGGAAGGCAGGUUUUCAUACGGUAUUCUCAUUCUUAGGUCGGAGCAUUGAAGCCUGAUAAACCGGCCAACAGCUAGUACAAAAGUUAUGUAGAGACCCCAAAUGCUGAAUUUGCUUAGUGUGUCUCCAAGAAUACCCUCUGUUGCAGUAUUGCAAUAUUAAUCACGACGACAAAAAAAAUCAUAAAAAGUUACUAUCGAAAUAAAUAUACAACAAAAAAUAGUUUUCGAGAACUGACGUGGUGGAGUUUCUUCGGAUACUACAAUGGCCAUUGGUCCUGUGAAACCUCCACAGUGAACCAUAUCAGAUGAAUUGAUAAUAUGGAAGGACCACCACUCGAAAGUUGCUCGAUUGAUAACAAGAUCUGCACUCACUGAACUGACUGAAUUUACCUGUAGAAUUUGGUUUCAAGUCAAUGAUAUAUUAUCAAUGGCAAUAAUAGAAAACAGAAGUUAACAAUGUAUCAUGAAAACAAAACCCGAAUGAAAAGUGCUAUAUACCUCUUGCUCAAAAGUUCUGACUUCACCAGAACCGGUAACACGGAAGUAUCUUGAAUAAAGAUUGUAUACCCUAAAGCCAUUUGCAGAGCCAUUGAAAACCUUUUGAACAUCAGAUCGAUCGGGAAGAUCCUUAGGAUCUAGAGGUUUUUCAUAUUUCACAACUUCCUUGCCUUUUGGCCGAUCCCUUGAAAGCAGCCAAGUAGAUGUGAUACCCAUGUCCAUAUCCCAGUCAAGGGACUGAAUAAAUCUUCUCUGAACGACGUUGGGAACGAGCCACAAAGUACUCGCAUCUGCUUGGCAGCAUAUCAAUUGUACAUCAUUCUUAUUGUAGGUGUCCAAAUAAUUUAGGGGAUCUAGACUAGCAUCGGAAUUGAGCUUAUCCCAUGGGAUCUUUUCACAGAGGGUAGUAUGAUACAAGGUCAACCUUCCACCAAUGGUACUGAUGUCUAUUUGAAAAGUUGCAUCUUUGAUGGGGUUUGCAAUAUUUGUCGGAUUGCCACUGCUGUACAUCUGGCAGAACCAAAGCAAAACAAAGUUAUUGAUGGAUCGAGUUAUAGAAUGCUUCUUCCACCUGAUCACAAGUAACAAUAUACCUAGAUAUCCAUAGGUGUACAUGACUUAUGGUAAAAACAUUAACGAUGCCUGCAGGCCCACAAGUAACGAUAUACAUUUUCCUCAUUUUCACAAUAGCAAUCUACAAAUUACAAAACCCCAUUUCCCGACAAAAAUACAUGCACACAAGAUAUUAGUGGCACAUACAUCCAAGAACAUGGAGUUGUUUUAUAAUGCUUCAAGCAGAAAGUUGCCAACUCAAGUGUUUGUUUUACAUAUUCAGUGGUCCUGGACACCUAGUAUUUGCAUGCACAUGACUCACUAUCCACAUGGAAAAUUACGAAGGAAACAGGUCCUAGCAUACCAGGAAUGAGAAAGAAUAACAAAAUGCCAAUAAUCAAAUGGAAUCCCUUCUGAGAAAAGUUUCUCAAAUGGUUUUUAGGUAAUAAGUACUAGACAUCGAAAAACAUAUCGUGCAAAUAGUAGAUCUGGUUAACGGUUAUGAAGUCUCUUACCAGCAUAGGAGCCCAGAUAACACAAAUUAAGAUAAAGAACAGACAUAUCCCAUUGCAGCACUUGGUCAUUUUUGUUUGCUUUUCUCCUUGUUUGUGCUGAGCUCUAUUCAACAAAGCAUCGCAUUUCACGAGGUACAGGCUUGCAUUUAUGUCUUCCAGCUAAGGAAAAAAGUGACAUGUUAGUUCUAAAAAUCAACAAGAAACAAUUCAAUCAAAGAAUCCCUGCUUACUGAAAAUCAAAACAACUAUUCUUUAUAAAUAAUAAUAAUAAAAGAAACUCUGAACUUACUUUGAGCCAGUCAUACAUGGUCAAAGAUGUUGUUGUGCAUGACCAGUCAAGUACACAUCGUAAUUCAUAAAGAAAUGGUAGAGCCCGAUAAAGUCUAUAGCCUAAGUAAUUAAUUCGUGAGACCUCACUGGUCAAAAACUGUCGAAACAAGGUGCUUUUAUGAGGAAUUCCAUGUCGGAUUUGUACAGCCUGAAGUGCUAGAGAAACUGCUUUAGCAAGAAAUAUAGCACGCAGUACUAGCCGUGCAGCAUGCUGGUCGGAAGGUUCCAUUCGCCAAGCAUACUGUGUAAUCGAAUAUGUGAAGAGAACAAAAUUGAAAAGGUAGAAAACAACUUUUGCUGUUGCAAAUGAACAGAGAUAAAGUAUUCGAUCAACAACAAUCAAGAAAAAAAUGAUCUGCAAAAAAUAAUAUGACCCAGUUAGGAUUAGAUCACAGCAUAUCAAGCCUAUAGUAGCCCAAGUAAGAAUGCGAAGAAAUGACAACUAAGCCAUUAGAAAUAGUCGAGCAAAGUUAAGAAGAGAAAUAAGAAAUAAACUUACAAUCAAGAUAGUUACAUAUUCUAUAGGAAAUUGAUCUUCUAGCUGAUAAACAUCAAGAAAUUCACUCUUGUUCUUUAUGACAGACUGGUAGAACAUUGCAACUAGGAAAAACACAGUCAGAUCAGCAACAAAUAUGUAAGCAUACAGAUCAAAUUCCCUUUUUCCACCACCAAUUACAGAGAGUAUUUGGUAUGGGAAUCCCGUUGCUUCAACAAGCCCAGCACGCUGUGCCUCAAGAAUUUCUUUCGCCACAUCAGCUGCUGGAGUUAGUGACUUGUACCAAUCUGCUGAGGUACAUCCUGUCAAGGGAGAUGCAUACACCACCUCAAAAACAAUCAGAGCCACAUUUGGGCUUUCUCGACUUCUUUCAAUGCUUUGAACCUGGACCCUACUAGCAAAUGGACAAUUACUGGGGAUUAUUUGAGUACAUCUCUCAUCAUGAACUAGCCUAAGCAGUUGGUUCAUUCCAGACUCAACCUUUUCUGGCUGAAUCCCAUCCUCUGGCCACAAAUGAACAUCCACCGAAACUUGAAUAAAGUAAGGAGGAGUUUCCGCUCCCUGUAUCAAUGAUUUCCAGUACCAGAAGAAGCUUCUAAUUACCAGUUUCGCCGUAUUUAUUACAAAUUGGAACAACUCUGAUACCCUUUCACUCCAGCUAUAGUUCACAAGAACCUCUUUUCUACAAAGAGAACUCCUCCUAUGGGAGUUAUAGUCAGUAGAGGGCAUCCAUUCACCAUCUUUUGCACUUAUAGAGCUUUGUAAGAGGGUAAAUAAGUACACAAGAAAUAGAGGCAACGAACUCACAACAAAUGACGAUUUGAUUUCACGAGCAGGAAAUCCUAUUUCACGGAGCAGGUCUGACAUGAUACUCAAUCCACAAUGCUGGAUUACAAUUUGAUACAGAUACUGAAGCAACAUAUAAACUUCCGUGUAAAUCAGCAUGACAACCCAGAAGAUAUAAGUCGGACCUGUAUUCACACAUAGAGCAUACAAGAAAAGAGCUGCAAGAUACACCAUAGAUAGCAAACUGAAGUUCCAUAGAAAGACAAGGAUAAACAAACAGUAGCACACAACAUCGAUAUUAGACCACAUCUGGGACCAUAUAUGCCGAAAGAUCCGCCCCAGCUGCAAACUCGUAGCAUCAGAACUUUUAUCAGAUUGCAGAGAAGAUGAACGGUUCAAAUGGAUAUUCUGCAUCUUUUGGCCCUCCAUCUCAUCAAAGGCCUCAUCCUCACCAGAUGAGUGCUCAUUCAUAUCGGAAUCUUCUGGUGCAAUGUUUAAGAAAUUUACAAGGUUAUUAACUGCCUGAUUUCCAAUAGACUGUACCUGGGAAACGCCAUCACCGAGGAGGUGUACUGCAGAAAUCAAAGGAUGCUCCUUUGCUUGGUUUUUCCUACUUCUCUCUGAAUCUAAAAAAGCACUAUCAGCAUCAGAUUCAAUUUCAGUGAUCUCACAAGGUGCAUAUUCCAUUGAAUUCUUUGGAGAUUCCACAACUUCAGGAUUUUCUGCUUUCAUAUAAGCAGCAUAUGUGUGUGUUUCAGGGGGGAACACUGAAUCUUGUUUAUCAACUUGUUCUUGCUUCCAAAGAGAGCUUUCCUCUUUGUCAAGAGGCCCAACAUCCCUACUUGAAGUAAGAGAAGUCCUCCUCCUCCGCAGGCCUUCAUCGUCAGGAGAGACAUCACCAAAAGUUGCAACAGAAUUCAUGCUAUGGAGCUUUAUUUGCAAGUUAAGCAUCUCAGAUUUCAUCUUCUCCACUUGCAAGUUGCGUUGAUGUUUCUUCUCCUCAGCUUCACGAAUCUGUUGCAACUGUGCAGUUUUCCAAGCAGCUUUUUUCUCUUGCUCACGUACAAUGGCACCAAUUUGCUCCGCUUCAAGGUAUCGUGACACAUAAUCAGACUCGUGGGAGGAAAACAUAUAUGACUGAAGUGAUACCAACAUAAAUAUCACAAUCUCAACAAGUGCGGAUCUGGCAGUAAUUCGAAACCCAUAGUCAUACUUGUAAAAUCCAAUGACUUCAUAUAUGUAGCUCACAGUAUUGCACUUUCCAGAACUAAACUCCCCCACGAAAGGUGAUUGAUAGGCAAGAGAAAGAACGAUCACCACAAAGUUGUAGAUACGCAAGAACUUGAAUAUUUUAUUCUUUUUCUUGAGAAUUUCAAGCCUCAUCCGGAAAAAAACAAGAGCAAAAGCAAGAUAACCCAGGUGCAGAAUAUCAUACUCAAGAGUUCCAGUAAUCAAAAUCAAUACAAGGACCAAGUCCAAUAGAUGGCAAUAACAAUAAAGCCUUACAUAGUCAAGAAAGGUCCACAUGCUUUUGGUUUCAAAAGAGAGAUCUCGCCAAACAAAUGAAUUUUCACGUUGAGACAACAUUUGCCGAUAUGUUGAUGAACCUGAGAAAUCAGACAAGUGAUCUGCACGAAGCUUAAAACAUGCCAGAAGAAAGACCAAGAAAUAGCUAAUAAGCAUUCGGGGAUCAUCAAUGAUCAGUCCUGCAGGAAAAGGAGAAAUUAACAGCAGAUUAGUUUGAACCUCCAUCAUAGGCCAAAAUUAAAUAAUGAAUUGAUAGAUAACUAUGAACCACUGACAGGAAUAGACAAACUCUUCCAAGCAUAAGCUAAUUUAAGCUAAGUUAGAAAACAGUCUAAAAUUGUUCAAAUGCCCGUGUCAAAGAUACCAGACUUCUUGUAGAAAGAAAAAGGAUAAAACAUGGCAAAGUAACAUAGAUGAUAAUGCUAAAAUAAGAAUCAUUAAGUCAAUUUUCUUCUGCCAGUCAAAAGCAAAGUAUAAUAAUUUGUGCAGUGCUUAUCUGCCCUAUUUAAGCAAUAAGCAGAUCCAGAGAUUAAUACCCAGCCAACAGCUCCUGCAAUACUGAAAAUAUGAAGCCGAGCUUUUCCAGCAGUCAUGGCAACAGAUUUCAGACUGACUUGGCUUAUUUUGAUUCAGAGGGAACAUACUCUUCCAAAUGGCAAAAUACUCGAGGAUGAGAACAGAAGCAAACAAGAAGACAAGAACUGGCCAUAAUUUACGAAUAAUCUGCCGAUUCAAAAGAAUACAAACAGCAAGCACUGCAAUAUAUAGCAUAGAGAUGGCAUUCAACAAAGCAAAACUUGCGAGAAGCAAAGCAAUCAUGUUAAUCUCCAGGCCAUAAAGGCUAAACAUGUUCUCUAUCCAGAAUUUCAAAUAUAUUUUUAAGAGAGCCUUCUGUGUUUCAAAUCUCUCUUUCCUUAAUGCAAGGAUUCGCUUCUUGUUCCACUUAUGACUCUCCUUGGUGCUUCCCCAGAAAUAUCCAAAUGAAAAUUUUCUCACACCAUUAACCUCAGAACCUCCUGCUGCUUUGGAGGACCCAUGAUGAGGUGCUUGAGAAAAAGCACUGCUCAAAGAUGACCAUGAAUUGCUUGCUGCUCUGUCUUGUCUUAUAGGUUCUGUCCCAACACUAGAAGAUGGCUUAUCUUCCCCAUUAGACAUGUAGCCAUUGGUGUAGUUAUCCUCUGCUGGUAAAAAUAAAGGACAGGGCUCUUCCCAUUUGCGUUUCUUGGAAAUACCACUUGGCAUAUUAUCCAACCAACGGAAGACAUUGUACUGAAGGAUGCAUGCAGCAAUUACCAGAACCUUUCCUCUCAAGCCUGAUUCUAUACCCCAAAAUCCUGGCUCAUAUGCACGGAUACCCAAAAAGAGCGACAAAUCAGAAUGCUUUUGCCCUGGAAACAUUUCAGCUUGUUUACCCCACAUCUGAAAAAGAUACUCUGAUGUAACCAGAAAUCCCGUAUAAACUAAGAAUGAUUUGGAUGGGAUUUGAGAAGCUUUAGGUAAUGUUGAACAUAUGACAAGGCCAAGUAGAUACAAGAAUCCAAAAGCACAAAUUGGAGAUAAAGAUGCAUAGAAUAAUGAGACAAACAGGACCUUCUGGCUGUGCCAAAUCAGAAACCGCUUGGCAAAGCCAAGUAUCCCAGAACCUAAAGGAUUGGGAUGGUAAGUUCUGUUGUACUUGCUCUGCCUCCUUUCAUAGCUAUAAAGUUGCAUCACAAUUAGAACAGCUAGAGAUUGCCAAAUAUUAUCCAACAAUGAAGCUUCAGGAUCAUAACCCAAAUAAAAAUAGAGAUUUAUAAACCCAGAGAGCCAAAUCUUAAAGCUGGUAAAACUGCUUAAGCUAUAGAUAAUAAUGAACACCAUAAUUGCAUAUAUUUUUAAUGGAAACCAUAGGCGCCUUUUAGUUCUCUCAACAAGUUGUCUUCCAAUAAUCCAAACAAGGAGAAGGAAGAUGUAUCCAAAUGAUAUAUAGUUGGGUGUCACCAUGUAUACUGUGAGAAGAAUAGUCAGCAAAGCAAUGUAGGUUCCACAUGAUCGAUAUAUUGAUAAAAACUUCUGCCCAAUUUCGCUAAGGAAUGAUGCUAUCCUUCUCUCUGAAUAACAUUAAAACAAACAAGUAAAAAAAUGCUGUCAAUAGAAGUUUAGAGGUAGAAGCAGUAAUGGAAAUAUUGAUAGACAAAUGAGUAACAGAAACAAAAUAUUAUAAUAAACAAAAUGGCCUAGAGACAGCUAUCUUGAACAUUCCUAGAAGUCCAAAUUCAUCAGAAAGCAGACAUCUCAUUGUGGCCUAAGGUCAGGCUAAGAACCAGCUAUAAAAUAAUCAAAAAGUAUUUACAAUCAUGUCUAGAUCCAUAAAGCCUGCACAUCAUAGCAGGAUGAUACCAACUUGUUCUAGGUUUAGUUUGCUAUAAUAUUUGAAUAAAAUGUAAGGCAUGAAAUUUAUUAAACGGUUCUCUACUUAGAAUGCAAGUACAGACAUAAAAACAGUCAAUUUUACUACCAAGUUUCCCAUACCUGAUGAACAUAACAUUUCGACAUUCAUAUAAAAUAAGCUAAAAUAUAGGACUACCUAUCAAAAUAAUUUUAGCAUUUGCAAUUAAUAGUGGAAAACCAAACUUUUUUUAUAGGUAUUUUCUUUUUCAAUUUUAACAGCCAAAUUUGGACAGAAAUUUUGACAUGCAUAGAGAUUAUACCAUAAGAAGGAUUAUCAUGGUAGUAGGAGGCGCUUGGAGAUGCAUAGACUGACAAGAGGACAGACUUGUUCAGACCAGCUCUCAAGAUGCUAAAUCCAACAGGAGGGCUAGGGGUGUGCUGCACAAUUGCUGAGAAUGAAAAUAGCAUCUCAAACCCAUGGUUAUGGACUGCACAGAAGCACGCAAGCAAAGCUAUUUCCAGAAAGUUCAAUGAACUGUUAUGUUUAUGGAGACCUACAUCAAUUCAGAGAAGAUUGUUUAGUUUCUUUCUCUUUCCAGGGCCAGGGUAGUUCAUUAAUAGCCAUAAUCAUGACAUAUAAAUGAAAUUAGAUAACCCAAAGCAAAUACAUACCCAACUGCGACAUGAUUUCCAAAACAAUGGAGCCUUUUUGCUCCAAAGCAUUAGAGAUCAAAUCGAUCUGAAGAAGGUACAACAAUGCAAAGUGAGCUUCACAAAGAAGAAUCAGAGACUGGCGAAUCUUUCUGCUGAUGUUGUGGCUCAAAAGAUAGAUCAAAAAGAAAACCACUGAAUCAGAGGAGAAACACAUAAAGCCAAUUAGAAACUGCUAUGGAUAAACUUGCAGUAAUAAUACAAAUUUGCACUUGCUUAUGUGAAUUGUACAAGAACAUUGGACAAAAAUCCUUAUGCUAAAGGAAAAUUUAUAAUUAUACUUAACUAAGAACUAAAGCCGACAAGGUUUAAUAGAACAUACAAUAGACAGCAUGGAUUAAUCCGGGUUUCAUUGCUAUGAUAAAUAUCAGUGCAAGCAUGAUAGCUCGAGAACAUUUGCGCAGUCCCCAUGCAAUUGUAGCCACAAUGAACACCUUGGUCUCUCCAUCCACUGCAAACAAAGGACACGAAGAAGCAAUUAUAUAGAUUAAAAAGUAAAAUUACCACCCUUUUGUACUCAAUAUCCGUAAAUGAUCUUAAAAUAGAUAAGAGAAGCAGUCUAAAGCAAUGCCAGAGUAGUAGAUAUACGAGAAAAUAAUCAGUUUUAUGUGCUGUCAGAAGACAGAAAAUCAAAAUUAAAUCUUAAAGAUAUCUUAAAAUAAAAAACUAACUCUUCAAGCUCACUGUUGUAAGAUAGAAAUCUAACUCGCUAAAUGCACAAUCCUAGAAAUAUAUACCUUCUCAGGAUUUCUAAAGAUAUAUUCCAAAGCCGACCUGAUGACAGUCCUCAAAAUGCAGAUGCCAAGAAAGAAGUCUGUAGCACUCAGAAUAUAUAAUUCAUACCUUCCACAGCAGAGUUGUUCGAUGAUAUAGCGUCCUCAUCAGAUAAAUAGAGGAAAACAGAAUUAUUUACAAGAUUCCCCAAAGCAACCAAAAUUCCAAGACAAAAUUGUGCAAGCAAAAAAAAUCCAGGUAUGGGAUAAUGCCAAAACCCAACCAUUUCCCAAAUUUCCAUAUCCUGCAUGAGCCCAUAUGUUGAUGAAAACAUAAGAAAAAAGAAAUCUGAACCAUUUAAAUUUAUGAAAUGAUGAAUUUGCAAAAGAGAGGAGUACCUUCCCAAAAUUCCUAUUCAAGAAAGCAAAUGCCACAUUGAAUAUAUAGGUGCUUACAGCCCACAAAAGAAUGAAGACAAGGAGAAGCCCAUUUAACCGGUGCAAACGGAACAGGGAAGGAAAAGCAUACACAAUGUAGCCAACAUAUGCAAGUAGCCCAAAAGCACAUAUACUUGCAAAGUGGAAACUCCAAAAGGAAAGAGCAAACAAGGAUACCUGUCAAAAUUUCCACAGACAAUUUACAUAUAUAUCUUAAUAUUGAUAAAAUUAGAGAAAAGACCCAUAAGAUUAUAGAAACAUUUAGUAAAAGGUAGCAAUCAUACUGGAAAACCGUAAGUGAAAAAGUUGAUGGUAAAAGUCCGGAAAGCUGUCCCUCGUAGUAAAACAUUGGUAUGCCUUACACCAGAUCUGGAGAAUUAGAAUAACUCAUUACAGAACUCAAAAUAACCUAUCAGUUAAAGAAUGGACCCUUUUGUUUUCUAGAAAAUAAAAGCAGAAGCAUAAAUGAUACAUGAACAUCUUAUACAGUGUGCCAGAUCCAAAACAAACAUGAUGGUGAAAAGAAAAAGUUAAUUAAAAUGAGUGCUCGUAAUUAAAAUAAUUCUGCAAAGGAGCAAAUUGAAUCAGUAAUUUGAUCAUGUUUGGUAUCCUCUCACUACUGCUUUCUUUCAGGAUAGCUCUAUUAAACAUAGAAAAGCAUGAUUAAAAUAGUAAAGUGUAGAUAAAUACACAUAGGUUAAGAAUAAGAGAAAUUUCCAGGAUAUAGCAGUACAAAUAGUUAUUUGGAUAAACUAUUUCCAGCUUAUAGGUGCAAGAAAUGAAUUAAAUCCAUGGAUAAAUCAAGUAUCCUAGAGUUUGCAAUUUAUGGUGUGUAUAAUAUUUUGCCUCUUUUUAAGAUUUAAAAGCAUAUAACAAGGGAAGAAUCAGAAAUAAUAUAAAUAGGUAUGUUACCUUGAUUCACGAAUGAAGAAUGAAUGCUUUGAUGGAAGUAGUUGCUCUGUCAAGCUACUUUCCCGCGUGGACAUGAUAAAAUCCAUUUCCUCCAAAUCACAUUUGACAUAGGAUAGCUGCAGUACAAGACAGAAUAUUUAAAUAGAAGAAAUAGACACCAAGACGAAAGCAGUACAGAAAUAUUUUAAAAAUAAAAAGAACACAACACAUAAAUAAAUAAGAUAUUUUCAAAAUAUUGUCAUAUUAUGUCUUACAAGUAAUCCAAAACUUCAGGUAUUACUAAACAAAACUUAAGACGACCAUAAAUACAUGUACUAAGCAUAUACAUAGAGCUGCUCUAAUCUUGUUCUCAAUUAUAUUAUUUCUUUAUAAUUAAUUUAACUUGUUCAAAACUAUUAAGAACAUAUAUUAUAUAAAUAUGCGGUUUCCAACUAGGAAGCUCUCAAAUUUUCAACUGCAAUUUCACUGAGCAAAUUGAAUAAAAAUUGCAUCCAGAAUGGAAAAAAUGUCAUCAAUCUCCAAAGUUUAGUUUGCAACUAAAUAGUUCAUAUCUGUCCGGGAAAAAAUUCUUAUAGAAAGAAAACACUUCAAACCAUCUUAAAUUAGUAAUAUGGGGAAAAGACUUAUUAGAUGGAGUUUAGUUUGCAACUAAAUAGUUCAUAUCUGUCCGGGAAAAAUUUCUUAUAGAAAGAAAACACUUCAAACCAUCUUAAAUUAGUAAUAUGGGGAAAAGACUUAUUAGAUGGACAAAUGUCAGACACAGGAAAGACUCAAAUGAAGUCAAUUUCAUAAUAUAAGAUUCUAGGAAGAGGGAAGAGUGUCUUGCAUUUCAUUUAAAGGUUCAGCUAAAAUCUUUAAACAGAAUCAGACGUAUAGUAAUAAAACUAGUACAUACCAUGAUGUAAAAAAGUACAAGAGAAACAGAAGAGCAAAUUUCAGUCCACUCAGAUGUUGAACAUAUUUUGAAUAGACCAACAAAAUCAGCUAUCCACUGUAACAUACUUGAGAACUCUAUAGGGAGUUGAUACACAUAAAGCAUGAAAAUGCUGAAGCCUGCAUAAAACUGGAGAGCCUUCCACAACCUUGACAAAAAAGAAACAGAACAUAAGCUACUAAAAACAUUAACCAAUGAUAAAAUCAAAUUCAUUGACAAAGAAAAUGAAAUAGAACAAUGUACAAAGAGUCAAGAAGAAAUCACCUGAAUAGUCCUAGAAAAUUGCUAGUCAAAGACCAAUCCACUAGCCCAAUGCAGCUUCCAAUGAAAAAUGGCAGAGAAAUCCACGAGGGAUGGCUAAUUCCCACAACCAGCUGAAUAGCAGGUAGAAGCAAACAGGAAGCAACUUUAAGAUGGGAACCUUUCAUGAAAUAAACAAUGGAAAUAAUUUUAUAUCAGUUUCAAUUUAAACAUGACUACCUGAGGUAACAAGUAAAUUAAAAAAACUCAAUUAAAAUUUUAAGUUCAGAAGCUGAAGCAGAAUAAAGAUUAAGAGAGAAAUGUUUAAGAUAGUUUUAACUUUUCUUUCUUUUUCUAUAGUGUCCGAGGCCAACAAAAGUACCAACUUAUUGUCAACGGCAUAGACUUAAUGGGAAUUGAAAUUUAUAUAUAAAAGUAAUAAAGCUGACUGCAAUGCAGAUAAGCAACGCGAUCAUUUCAGUUGGCUAACCAGCGAAAUAGCAAACUACCAGGCAUACACAUUAUAUGUUAUUAAUGCAGUCUGUGCAUACAUUGGAUAUUACUAAGUUGGCAAGGAUACAACUCACAGUAGAGCUAUACUGCACGAAAUACAAAGCAUUUGUUUGCAGAGAAAACUCAACUGUCUGUUCUGUUACCACAUGAAAACCCUUGACUAGAUUGACAAGAACUCUAAAUUGAAUAUGAGGCAAAAUAAUGCUUUAGAAGUUCUAGUAGCUAACUUAUAAGCUUUAAGUAGGCUACAGAGAUCAAUAUUUUCACCUCCAAUCCACAAGGCCCCAAAGAUCACAACAGAAAUAUUCCACUAGUAAAACAUGUGCUAUCAUUGACACAAAAUGAGAAGAGAAUAAUAAGGCUUCACUGCUGCUUUAGAAGAGGGACAAUUGGGGGAAGAGUGUUGAACUUGAUUUAAUUCAUUUAACAAAGUGAAUAAAAUCAUCUCUAGUUCAUAUCCUCUGCAUGCAAUAAGUUAAUCCUAAAACAUGCAUAUAGGAUUGCUAAAUGGAUCCUGUUUUGGGUGGGGAGAGUACAUAGUGCAACAAUAUCACUACAUAAAAAAAAAUUAGAAAAAUAAGGAAAUACUUACAAACCUAAUUGUUCAACAACUGUCAAGAAAUGACCCCAACAAGUAUACCGCCACGGAACAAGACCGAAUCUGUUCACAUGUAUAUCAAGCAAUGCAACUACUAGCACUAGAAGUUGUGUAACCAAGAAAUAGAUCACAGUGGGAGAUCUCCAAGACUGGAUUCUGCAAAAGCAUAGCCAAAUGGACAAACUGUCAAAAUAUGCAGAGACUGAAGGAACAGAAGAAUUAAAGAAAACAAAAUAUAUCCUUACAUCAUAAAACCAAUUAGCUUGAGCCACCAAGCAUCUCCUACACUCUGUUUAUAGCCUCCAACAGCCCAUAUAACAAGAUAUGCAACUUGUGAAAGAAAAACAAGUAGGGAAAAGAUGAUAACAGGCCACAGUAACAAAUAUUUCCUCCUGAAACGAAAUCCUAUAAGAAAGUAAUCCCAUGUUACUUUAUAAGAAAUGAAAACAACUUCAAAUAAAACCAUUAAAAUAACAAUAAUCAGAAAAAGAAGUUAAACUUAUAAAAAAUGCAAGAAGUCAAGAAAUAUCAUAAACCCCUCUUCUAAUUUUCUUAUAGACUCGGGGUUAUGUAACAUUAAAGACUGCUGAAUUCUACAAUAAGCACUUAGCAAAGUUCAUUAGAUACGUACAGCAAAAUCUAAAGCACCAACAAGAUAAAAGUAGUAAGAAAAAACAAUGAACAACUGAGACCCUGCUGAAUUAUGGAAAAUUAGAACUACAGAACUGCAAAGAUAAAGCAAAAAUUUACCAGAAAAUCUUCAUCACUUACCUAUUUUAGGUGCAGUAUACUGAAUGAGAAGGAAAGCGAUCAAAUCAACAUGAGAGAUCAAACUCCAAUUGAGCAAUGAAGCUUCAAGAAAGACAGAACAGGUAAAAACUAUUAAUUAAUUGAUGGCAGAGCAUAUAUGUAUUUGUAUAUGCAUACACACAACAAAAAAAAUGCAGUUUCAAACAGUAACUCAUAAAAGAAUAAAUGAUCUCAACGUCAGUAGAGAAUUUUUCUUGCUGGGAGUCUUCUAUGUAGAGCAUUCUGUAAGUUAUCAAUUUACAGGUCUCUCAACUUAUAAAAUUUAAAAUUAACACUCUAUGGCACUCUGCUAAGACCGUGCCUCAAAGCUCAUUAACAAACCAACCUGUCCCUCACCAAAAAGAAUACCAAUGAAGUUUUCGCUUUUCAAGUGACUUUUAACUGCAAAAUCCCUUCUACCCUUCUCACCUUUCAGGUUCCAAAAUAACAAAGACUGGAUGAUGUCCUGUGUCACAAGCUAAUUUUAAACUAGGUUCAGGUACCCAGGAAUUAGAUUUUUACAGUCUCAAAAACUUGAAACUUACAAUUGAUACUGGUCUAGUUCAAGAAUGACCCCUCAAAGUGAAUUUUCCAAACAAUAUAUGAAAAGAACAGAAGGUUGCAUAUAAAUGCAAAGACUAGUGUUCCCAUCAUGAACUCAUGAGCAGUAAACAAAAUCCCUACUCUUAAACAGCAGCUUGGAUGAUAAAAAAAAAAGGGUCAUUUAGACUCUCCUCAACUUCCUAAGACACUCCCUUAUGGAAUUCGGAUUUGGUUAUUUCUCUAUGGGACAUAGCAUAGCUCAAAUUAUACAGAUAAACGCGAGCACUUUAAGACAUAGCUCAAACAAUGCAUAUGUAAAGUAGAUUCCAACAGACAACCAACACCACUAAAUGAAUUUCUAAUUAAAAAAAAAGGGGGGGGAAUGAAGCAAAAAAGAAAGAAACCCGGAGUCUUUAUAUAAAUUUAUAAGGGAUGAAAUUAAAAGUAAAGAGUAUUAAGAAACAAAGCAUACCUGUAAGAAGCAGCAAAGGCAAAGCAAACCCAGUUAGAAAACUCCCCAUGAGAUUAGCACUUGAAUUCCACCAAAAAAACCAGAUCGAUUCACAGCAAAAACACAGAAUACGUUAAUGGGUUUUCGUUUUCCAUUAAAAUCAACAAAAACCCAUUUCACAUCAAAUCAAAAAUUUCCUCCUAAGCAAACGAAACGAGGAAAUUUUUGACUUGAAAACCCCAAGAAUGGAAGUUCGGGUCACGUGUUUUUCAGCAAAAGAGGGAAUAAAUUAAUAAAAAUAAAAACGAAAUUAGCUAUGGGUUUUACUAAGUACAAAACCAAAUUCGUCAAAAUCUGAUGUCCUGAAAUAUGUAUUAAGGAAUUAAAAUAACAGCAAGGUUGAUUUUAUAUUAUGAACAUAAAAAAUGAUUUUUUUAUAUAAGGAAAAUAUGGCUUUACCUGAUAUUCUAGAAUAUUAUAUAACUCAAGAUAUUUUUUUUACCCGCGCAAUGCUGCGAAGGGAAAUAUCUUUCUAGCAUAUUCAUUGAUUUAUUUAUUUAUUUUGGUACAUAUAAUUAGAGUCAAAAUUUUUAAAAUUCCAUGGGUGAUUGAAUCAAUUAUAUCACCAGUUUAUUUAAUUAAAUUAAAUAAAUUAUUAAAAAUUUAUAAAAUAUUAAAAAUUUGGUUUGUGUUUGAAUUAAUUGAUUUAUAUCAAUUUCUAAAUCUAUUGAUCUAAUUACUUUUUUGAAUUGGUAUCCUAAUUGAUUCUCGAUUCGAUCAAUUAAUUUAUCUAAUUUGAUUUAAAUAAUCUCAAUAAAGCUAAAUGAAUAUAAAAUUUAGAGGAUAAAUAAAAAUGAUAAAUAUUGUAUAUGUAUAAAUGAAGGAUUAAAAAAAUCAAGCAAUGAAAUAUGAAAAUAUUUAUUUCAAUAUUUUUUUAAGAAAUAAAAAAUUAAAGUGUUGUUUUUGAUAAAAAAGGUUAUCAAAAUAAAAAUGGAAAGAAAAAAUUUUCAAAUAUUUAAGAGUUUAAUAAUAUUUUUUCAAAAGAAAAAAUUGAGGGUUUAAUUAAAAUUUUGUGAGAUUAAUGAGAAAUUCAAAAAAAAAUUAGAAGAGCUUAAUUAAAAAUUUCAAAUAAAUUAAAAUACAUAACGAAAAUUUUCAAUACAAAAAUAAAAAUAAAAAUUUUCAAAAAAUUAGGAGAUCAAAGCUCCCUUAGCCUCCAUUACGAUCCGCCACCGCCUUUAUGGUUCAUCAGUUCACUAUUUGAAAGAGUAAGAUAUAUGAUGUGCUUAUUAAGUUCAACUGAACACUUAUAUUAUAAUCAUUUAUCAAUGGUUACAAAUAUUGAAAAUCAAGACCAAUUAACCAUAUUGAACUAAGAUUUUUCGGGCUUCAUUAAGUUGACAUUUUUGAUCAUUCUUUCUUUUGUUUUCUUGAUAUAUUUAUCGGAUAUUUCAUUGAUAUUCAACCCCAAACCUGUAAGCACUAGUCUCGAAUCAUCAGGUCGGACUGGUGUUGUCGGUUUCGCCAUGGCAAAUUCAUUGCCUGCCUCCCCACUGGCUACAGGGACGAUGAUCUUUGGGUGGCCUAUACCAGUUCGCAAUGAAUUCUCCUUCUUACCCGAGGGGUCAGGGACCGACAAACCGAACUUGUCAACGGUAGGCUGAUCAUCCAACUCUUCUGUUUGCUUAAACAAAAUCUUAACUGUAGGAUCUGAACCAUCAUCCUUGGCUUGGCUUGCAAGUGGUUCUUGUACUUCAUUGCUAGCAAAUUCACCUAGUGACCCUUUACCAGUUGAGCCCUGAGUCAUGAUGUGACCCAAGGUUAACCAUUUCGAGCCUUUACGAAUGAAGUUGAAGAGCCUAUGGCAAAUGCCAAAUGGCUGAUCAUCCUUUCCCUUCUGCUCCAUUGCCUUGGCUGAAAAUAAGUGGAAAAGAAUCGCUAUUUGAAUGAUUCGAAACUUGGAGCUCAAAAAAAUGAAGAAAGAAAGAGUGAGAUUUUCCAUGGAAGGGAGGGAUAUAAUUUAAUGGAUUCUUGGAAUAAGGGAGGAAUUUGUACUUUCCUUUAAGUCAAAUUUUAUUCCAAAACAGCAACAAGAAACAUCGAGGGGAAUUGGUGAUUGGUGAAUGUAGUUGAUGGAGAGAUUAAGAUACCAUGUGAACUGAAGUUUCUUCUUUUUUUUUUAUUAGCAAAUAUGCUUUGUGAAAUUACUAGGAGAUAAGAUAUUCUUUCUACACUUGAUGUAAACAUAUCUAUGGAAUAAAGUUAGAUGGAGACUUUUGACAUAUGUGCAUGAGUCUCGUGCAUAUUCAAUAAACAAUGACAUGUCAUCAGUGAAAUAAAAGAAAUAGUGAAAAUUUAUAAAUAAAUAUUAAUAACUUCAUUCUAAAAUAAAUCUAAAACUCUAAAAUUAUCAUAAACCUUAAAUCUUAAACUAUAAAAUCUAAACUAAAAACCUUAGAAAAAAAAUAAUUAUAAUUAAUAUUUAUUUUUAUUUAAAUAAUUAUUAUUAUCUCCACUAUUUUAUUAUGCACACCGAUAAUGUAUAAAAUCUAUACACAUUAAAUAUAAUUCAUAUAUAUUAUUAAUGCAAUUUAAGAAUCUUCCACUGGCACUUCAAUUAGAAUAUGCAUAAAUUGUUCUUCACAUGCAUGUGUGUGUGUGUGAAUGGCUAUUUAUAAAGAAAGAAAAAGCAUAAAUUCCUAAGGGGCAGCAUUAAGGGAAACUAAUGGGUGUCUGUUUCACAUGAAAAGAGAAUAUCAACUUUCAUCUACAACUUUGGGAACCCUUUCCUAAUGAAAGAAAAUCAUAACAUAAAAAUAAGUGAAGGGAUUGGAUACGGUGAGGUUUUCUGAUUUGGUGUUUUUUGUGGUAUCAUCAAUUUUAAUACCCAAAAUCUAGAAGUAUAAUUAAUUGAACUCUUUUGAUUGAUUUGGUAGUUAAGGGUUGCUCACUUAGAGAACUCACUCGAGUUUAAAUUUGUGGAGGGGUAAUGGAAGGCCUUUAUAUGGCCAGCUCUUUUAGGAUGUUGUGUGUGCGUGUGUAGCGUAACAGCUUUUAAAAUUGGCAUAAUGAUAACUUUAAUUCUCAACGUUUAUAUAUAUGCCAAUUUAUUUAGUCUUGAUUCUAAAAUAUCUAACCCUUAACAUUUACAUAUUGUAUAAUUUGGUCUUUUUUGCUUUUUAUAAUUGGGUAACCAUUUUAUAAUUUUUUAUAAUUGGGUGACAAAAAAUAAAUUUACUAAGUUGGGUGACUACAAUGUGGUUUACCCUUAUAAAAUUUACAUUUGUCUAACCAACAAAUUGCAUUACUUAAUUUAGGGUUGAGUAAAGAAAUUGAGAAAGCCAAAAUUUGAUUUGAACCAUUGCAUUUUAUUCGCUUUGAUUUGGUUUCAGAUUGAUGUUAUCACUCAUAUCUCACAAUUCAAUUUGGGUUCAAUUUUUCCGCAUGAAACUCACUUUAUUCAAAUCAAACCGAAUGAAAAGAAAACCAUAUUUAAACAAAUAGUCGUGAUAGACUAACAGAUAGAUUAUUAAUAUCUACAUGGCUAAUUCAUUUCACCUAAUUAUUAUUAUAUUGUUAAAAAAAACUAAAUAUAAUCAUACAAAAAGUUAAAGUUGUUUAAAUGUUUCAAACAAAAAGUUUAUAUAUAUUAAUGUAAGUGGAUCAUUUAUUGAAUAUGAUAGUUAUAUUUAUAAGCACAAUUAUAAUUUUAGUAAAUUACUUUAUAAAACUUUUAUAAUAAUUUAUUCAUAAAAGAAAUUGUUCACAAAUUGUCAACCGUGUAUGUUUGAUCGUUAUGAAUUUAAUUGAUUAUAUGAUAUAUUGCAAUGACUCAAUUAUAAAUAAUUGAAGCCAGCAACUAAUGAAAUUAAUUAAAAAACGAUACAAUAAACAUUAGGUAUAUGAAUGAUUUAUAUGUUUCUUUUUAACAACUUUGAAUGAUUUAUCAACUUAAUAGCUUAACUUAAAAUGACUUUUUUAAGUGAGGAUAAAUAUAAAAAAGAGUACACAUGAACUUUCAUCCAAUGAAUAAUAUGAUAUAUGAAUUUUGAUUUUGUACGGUUAUACACAUGAAACUUUGAUCGAGGAUCAAUUUUAUUCAUAGAACUUUGAUUUUCAUUCAAUUAGUAAGUAUUUAAAUAAAUAGAUACAAUAAUUUAUUUAUAUUAGAAAAGUAUAAUCAUCUCUGCAUGUAAUGUGUAAACGUAAAAUGUAUUAUAUCAGUAAUGAUGUUAAUGGUUCGUGAAAAUUGAAUCAAAUUAAAAUGUCAUAUGUAAAAUUGCACAAAAUCAAAGUUCAUAUAUAACAUUGCACAUUAGACUCAAGUUCAUGUGCAGUUUUGAUAUUCAUCCCUUUUAAAUAGUAUUUGCAAAUUGAUUAUGAUGUUAAUUUAAUUAUUUAAUUCACUUUAUAAAUGAAUGUAAAGUAUGUAUUAUGAUGGUUAAGAAAAAAUUAAGAAUUGCAAUAUUAGGUUUUUUGGGCCCAAAAACAAUGUGGUUGUUUUUUUCACAAGCAUUGUCCAAAUUUGCCAAAGAAUUGCUAAAUCGAAUCACAAUUAUCGAUUUCAAAUAUUUUGAUUUUUACUCAACACAUUCGAUUUUAAAGGUCGAAAAUCAAAUGAAGCAGUUCAGUUCAAUUUUUGUCUAAUAAAUAUUGUAUCAAACUGAAUCAAAUACACCACUAAUCUAGUUGAUGCCUAGUUCAGGAAUAGGUUGUGCUAUAUGUGAUUUAACUAGACAAGGUAAUGUAAGAAUAACUCACAAUGAUCCAAACAAGUAAAUAAAGAUGACUCAGACUUGAAGUUACCAAACCCAUAAUGACUCGAUAUGAAAACAAAACUCAAAACCUCAAAUUUGAAUAACCUAAGCCCAAAAUACUCGAGAUGCGAAGUCAAAUCAAACCUAAUACAAACCCAAAAUCAACUCAACCCGAAAUGUUCUAAAAAUUUUAAAAUUUUAUUUGACCUGACCUAGAUGGACUAAUUCAAAAUCAAUCUGACCCAUACAAUCAGAAGUUAUACUUAUCAUCUAUUGUCGAUAUGAACAUUUAUAAGCAGAGCAAAUAUCUACUAAAAUAUUUCUAAAAAAUGUAAAAUUAUAAAUUAAUGUAACGAUAAGAUUACACCGUUACUCUCAAAAAGGAAUUUCUAACUUCAUCCUUAAUCAUCUCAUACCCUUGAAGUUGAUAUCAAAAGUAUUAAAUAAUCAAAGCAUUCCACAGCUUGGUGAUAAGGGUUUGAUUGGAAUCAAUUUUGGAGAAUUUUUUUUGCUACCCUAUGUUUUUUAAAACUUAAACUAAAAUCAAAUCGAAAUUUAAAAAUUAUUUGAUAAACCAUAAAACAAAACUCUUAUUGUAAAGUAUGUAAAAAACAAAACAGAAAAUUAAUAUAAAAAGCAAAAACUGAAUUCAAUCGAAUCAAAUUAUUACGGAUAGUUUGAAAUUUUUAUAAUCCAAUUAAAGUAAAAAUCAAUGGUGACCAACCAGCUGGAAAUUUUUGUAUUUGGUUGAUUUGCAAGUAAAAGUUUUAAGGUUAAAGUUAAAAUUUCGUGUUAAAAUUAUUUAACUGAAUUAUUAAUUUUUACAAAAGAUCGAAAGUACAAUUUCACAUUUACUCAAGUAUUUAAAAUGGAUUAUGUAACAUCCUCAAAACCCUAUUGGUCGUAAAUAAUAUGAGAUAAAAUCUUACGAAAAUAAGGUAUAAGAUCAAAGAAAAUGAAAGUUGCAAUAUAUCAAAAGAGAGUUAAAUCAAGAAGCAUGACACGAUGUAUUAAGGAAGUGACUAAAUCGUAAAUAUGUGAAAAGCUUUUGGCUCAAGUGUAAAUAUUCAAAAUUUAAGGGAUUGAAAUGUAAUAAUGGGAAAUUUGAAGGACCAAAAGUGAAAAUAAUCCAAUUUACUAAUAUAUGGAUUGGCAUGCAUGGACCAAAUUGAAUAGGUGAAGAAUUGUGAGGGUCUAAAUUACAAUUUUACUAAAUUAAGUGAUAAUUCAAUGAUGGAAUUUUGAAAGAUCAUAAAUAGUAAAAUUGUCAAUUAGCAAGAGGGAGAAUUAUAGAAUAUAAUGAUGAUGUUGAUGAUAUUUUGGUGAUUUUUUUAAUUAAUUAGUUAAAUAUUAUUUUAUUAAUAUUUUACUUAGAUAUUUAUUAUUAUUUUAUUUAGAAAAUGGUAGUAUAAAAAAAAAGGAAGGAUGAAAGAAAUUUAUCAUCCGUCCAACGUGAGUGAAAGGGUAAGAAAGAAUGUUUUCUUUUCUUUACAAUUUAGUCCUUUGUCAUGAAAACCUACAUUUUUACCCAAAAUCUUUAAAAAUUUCUUUAGAUAUUAAAGAGAGAAGAUGAAAUAGAGAUUUUAGAGAAUAUGCCCAUCAAUUUAGAAUCAAGAAAAUAGUAGAUGAAAGUGGAGAAAAUGAGAAAAAAAAAAGGAAGGAAAGCGGUGAAGAUGAGAAAUGCAUGGAAAUGAAGAAAUUCUUUACAAAAGAGGUAAGUUUCAUACUAAACCUAUUUGUAUUUCAAUAGAUUGAGUUAAAGAUAUUUUGAGUAAGAUGUAUGAAACAUGUAUUUAAUCUAAAUACUAGAAAUAGAAAGUAUUUUGAUGAAGAACAAAUACUUCAAACACUAAAUUGGUAAGAGAGAAUAUGAUUUGUAUGGUGAAAAGUACUAAUAUUAAGAAAUGAAUAUGUAAUCUACACAUAAACAUAAGUAACUAAAUUGUAUAGUAAUCAAAAGUAUGGCAAUAAUGUGUGAUUGAAUGAAAGAUGGUGCAAAGGACCUUGAAAAAGAAAAUAUUUUCAUUAAAACAGUUUGGACAAUAGCAGUGACUUAAUUUUGAAAAUUCACCUAAAAUUUUAGAAAUUUAGUUAGAGAUUUAAUUAAAUAUGGAAUUAAAGCUUAUUGAGUAUAGUUUCAUAUGGAAGAAACGGUGAAAGAAAUUAGACUUUAUAGUUUGAGAUAUAUUAAUUUUUGUGAAACAAGGUUGGAGUGGAUUCGGGUUCUCCUGUUCUAAAUUUGGAAAAUCAUAAAAAAUUGUAAAAAAAAAUGAUUAUGAGUUUAAAUUUAUAUGUUUAAAUUAUUAAUGAGUCUAUUUUCAAUAGAAACAAACGAAAAAAUCAUCCAAACCUCGUACUAAGAAAUAAUUAAUUUUUAGUAAAGAAAUAUCGAAGUUGUCAAGCAACAGAAUAGGGACAAAUUUGAAUAAUUUACCGUACUGAUUGGCUAAAUUAUAAAUUCUGAAAUUUUUAUGGUAAAAAUAUAUUCGAGUCUAGUUUCAAAAAUAUCAAUUGGAUCUUAAUUUCAAAUUCUGUAACUCAAGACAUAAAUAAUUUAGUGACUAUGACUUAAGUGGACAGCUUUGAUAUGAACAUAUAAGUAAAUAGUGGAAUUAUGGACAAUGUUACAUAUAAGCAUGUUAUAUACUAAAAGCUAAAGAUUCUAAUAAAUAUAUACAUAAAAGAUGUGGAAUGGAGAGGAAGAUGAGGGAAAAAAUAUAUAUGAUUAUAUAUAUAGUAGAUGAAUUUGAAAUGUUUCGAAAUGGUUGUAAAUGAUGAAAUGAUUAAUACAUGUGAAUAUGUUUAAACGAAUUGAUAAAAUAACAAGUGAAUAAUUGUUAAUUGAUGUGAUAUUGAAUUCUUAUUAAAAUUUUAUGAAGAAUUAAAUUGAUUGCCACAAUUUAGAAAUAAAUAUGAAAUAUACAUAAAUUGGGUAAACUACUUUGAAAGUGCAAGUCCUCCAAUGGUCUUAUUUGUAAAACUUUGAUAUUUGUCUUAAUUUUAUAAACUUUGUUAUCUUUAAUCGAAUAUCAUGUUUUUAUGAGGACUUGGGAUUAGAAAUAGAUAUCAAUGGAUGAUAUGUAAAAUGAAGUGGCAGUUAUGAUAUCUAAAUACGGUUCAUGUAAUGAUAUAAAAAAAUAAAUAAAUAAAAAUAAAGCAUGGAACUUGUAGGAAAAUGGAGAUUAUGUUAUGAUGACAAGUUUGCUAUGUCAUGACGUGAAAACCCCAAUGUGGCGACGACAAUUCAAAAUUUUUUAUGAACUAUACAAUUUGGCAUUUGAUCAAUUGUAGACGUUUUAAUGAGCUCAUUUAACUUAUAAUUAUUUUUUUCGUAAAUUUAAUUAUUAUUGAAAUGAGUUAAUGAUCUAUAUUAAUUAAAUAAUAUGAUACAUUGAUUUGAAAUUUUCAGUAGUUGCUUCGGUAACGAAUGUAACAUCCUGAUGCCUUGACUCGCCAACCAGGUCGAGUAUGGGGUUGUUACAGAUUAAAUUAAAAUAUUAUAUUUUAAUUUAUAACUUACACAUAGAUCUGUUCGUGGAUCGGGUCACUUGACCCAAUAAGUGGGAAGGUUUGAUUAAAAAUAUAUGCUCGAAAAAUGGGCUUGAACAAAAAAAUAAGACUUGUUUAAAAAAUGGGCCAAGCUUCAGAUAAUGCUUUUUUUGACCCGAGCCCAGCCCAAUCCGACAUAAUUAGAAAAAAAAAGACAAAAAAAGCUAUUUUGAUGCUAUUUUUUAUUAUUAUUUUCUCACUAUUUUACUAUUAUUUUACUAUUAUGUUACUACUAUUUUGUUGUUAUUGUUUGAAUAUUGUAUAACUCUUAUUUUGUUAUUAAUUUUGUUACUAUUUUAGAGGCAUUUGAUUGUUAAGUUACACAUAUCUUAGUGUUAUUUAAGUAUAAAUAUUUUUUUAAUUUGUUGGAAAAUAUUUAUUUUAUUUUAUAAGUAUUUUUUAUGUAUUGUAUUUUAUUUUUUUAUAUAAAAAUUUUAAUUUGGCCGAGUUGAGCUUGGGCUAAAUUUUAGGCCAAUUUUUUAGGUUGGGCCCGGGCCGAACAAAUAGGCCUAAAAUUUUGACAAUGUUCAACCCGAUCCAUUGACAAAUCUACUCAUAUAUAAUAUAUGGACUAAAUUCAUAACUUACAUAUAGUAUAGGGUCUAAUAAUAACUUAAUUUAUAAAAAAAUAACUUUAUAAAGUUAUGAUAAAAAAACUAUAAUAUUUUUAAAUGAAUAAGUAUGUUAUUUUUAUAAUGUAAAGCAUAGACACGUAGAUAAGUUAUGUCUAUAUUUCUUCGUCAUAACUUUUUAUAAAUAUAUAUAUAACCCUUUCAUAACAUGUAAAUUAUUGUUUUAUAAUAAACUUUUGAUCAUAAUUUUAGAAUUAUUUUAGGAUUUUAAAAAAUAUUUUUUAUUAUAACUUUAUAAAAUACACAAUUUUUUUUACAAUAUAAUUUUUUAAGGUUUAUAAUAUAAGAAAAUUUUGGCCAUAACUAAUCCAAGUACUCAUUCAUGUUUAUAAUAUAAUUUCUAUAACUUGUAUAAAAAUAAUUUUUAAAAAUUUAUUUAAGUGUAAUUAACUGCGUAAUUAUUCUAAUUCUCACCAUCCCCCUUAACAAUUGAAAAGUUUAGUUGGGGUGCUCCAAUUUCACCCAAUGCAGUGGGACUCAUCAAUUAUAAUGGUUACACAAACACGUCAUCCUUGUGUAAUUACUAACAAUUACACUUAAAUCUAAUUAUUAGAUGCAUUUCCAAACACUGCCUAAACGAUAGGCAACUUAAGCAAACUUACUUUGAAUAUAAUAUUUAUUUGGAUAAAUAUCUUAUUUUCGUAUCUAAGUUUGGCUUCAAUGUUCAAUUUGAUAAAUGAGUUUUUUUUUUCUCAAUUUGGUACUUGAGUUUAGCUUUAAUAUUUACUUUGGUACUCGAGUUUUUUCAAUUUGAUAUUUGAGUUUUUUUUUGUUCAGUUUAAGUAUCUAAAUUCAGCGUUUAAUUUGGUACGUGAGUCUUUUUUUGGUCCCGAUUAAGUAUCUGUGUUCUUUUUAGCAUAAAACACAUGUCAAUCAUUCAUUGGGCUAUAUUAUAUCAUUUGGCAUAGGUACCAAAUUGAAUAUUGAAGCCAAAUUUAGAUAUCAAGUUAGGAAAAAAAAACUUAGGUACCAAAUUGAACAUUAAAACCAAUCUCAUAUAUUGAAUGAUAUAUUAAUAGUAUUUUUUAAACAUAAUAUUUUAUUUAUAUUAUUUUAUUGACAUAUAUUCGCAAGUGUCUUCAUCUGUUUUACAAUUUAAAUCUAAUCUUAUUCGAGAAAAAAUAAUAUUCAGGUAAAACACUCCUUACAUGACUACUCCAGAAUUUUAUUUAUAUUAUUCAUUCAUUAUUAAAUAAUAAUGUUGCACCAUGAAAUUUGAUAGAUAUUAUUAUUUUUAUGCACGUAUAAGUAUAGAUAAAAGAGUUAUUUUAUAUUGUGGUUGUAAAAUUUUAAAACUUUGAAACUCAUGUGAUGGCUUGAUGGCCAAGAGUGUUCACCGCCUCAGGUGUGACCUGAAUUCGAGUCGCACUAGUCACAUUGGUUGUUUGGGAUAUGCCCUGUUAUUGUAAUUCACCAAAAAUAAAUUAAAACUCUACAAAUAUAAAAAGAGAUGUAAUAAAUAAAAAUAAAAAUUAAUUAUAUAAAAAGGAUAUUUAUCAAAUUUUUAAUUAAAUAUUUAUAUGUAAUAUAAUUACAAUAUUAUUAUUUUAAAAAUUUUAUGAAAAUAUAAACAAAUUAUAUAUUUGGAUGACAUCAUCAUUUGCACAUCAUAUUAUAUUAACAUGAAUUUUUAUUAGAAAUAAACGUUACAUACGGAUUAAAUUUUAACUCGAUUAAUAUUAGUAUUGUUGUCAGUGUAGAAAAAUGAGCGUUCGAGCAUGCUGGAGCAUGUUUAUACUACUAUUUAAUGAUUGAGAUGAAUUAUAGGUCGUUUUAAAUAAUCUUAUCUAGGUAUAAAAUAUAAAAAACUUAGGAGUAUUAUUUUAUAACUACUGAAAUGACUAGAAUACCCCAUUAAAGGAACAACAGUCUUCGGGUCAGUUCUGCAUUACUUUUCAAAAGCACUUCUGGAAGAAAAGUUGUGCAGAAUAAGUUGCUUUUGGCUGAAAUUUUUAGCUUUUCAGAAGUGCUUUUGAAAAGCACUUCUGAAAAAGAGAAAAUAAAAUUUUUAGCUUUUCCUCUCCCCAAAACACUUUUAGUGCUUAAUUACUUUUUCACCCCUCCAAUAACAUAGUACUUCCCCCUUUUUUUUCUUGGUAAUUAAUUGCAAAUGUGUUAAAAUCAUUAAUUAAAAAUAAAAAAUAUUUUUUAAAAUACUAAUUACAAAUAUUUAAUAGUUAUAUUUAAAUAUUUAAAAUAUAAUUUAUAUAUUCUAAUUAAAUUUUAUAAAUAAUUAAUAUUUAUUGCUUAAAAAUAUUUAAAAUUUAUAUUUUAUAUAUUAAAAUAUUAACAAGAAGUUAUAAUAAUUUUUAUAUAUUAUUACUAAAAUAUAAUAAUAUUAACUAAUUUAAAUAUUAUUUAAAUGCAUAUUUGUUACUUGAUAAUAACAUGUCUAAAAUGGACAUUUUAUUUCUUAAAAGCACUUUUUGACAGUAAUACUAAACACUUAAAUUUUAAAUCAAAUUUUUCAAAAGUACUUUUUUACAGUACUUUUCAAAAGCACUGUCAAACUAAUUAUUCUUUAAAAAAGCUAGUGGCGUGGAAGCCCAUAAACAAAGCGGCUCACCAGUCACUAUAGCUUUACCUCUAGUAAAAGAAAAAAAAAGAAAAAAAGUAAUUUAAUUUCAAUUAUUAAAAUAAAAUUUAAUAUCUUAAAUAAUAAUUAGAUUAAAUCAUAAAAACUCAAAAUUUAAUAUAGAUUAAUUUGAUAUUCUCAGUAAUUUUUUUUAAAAUAUAUAUAUUUAGUUUAAAAGUUAAACGUUUCUUGUUAAUUGUAUUAAUAAUUUAAUAAAAUUUACCUUUUAAAUAUAAAAUAUUAUGACAUAUUAAUAUUUUUUUCCAGUGUUAAAAUAAUUAAAAAAAAGUCAAUGAAGCUUUAACAAAGUUGACAAAGAUAGGGUAGAGGUGUGUAUGGGCCGGGCCGGGCUCAACUAAAAUUUUAGGUCCGUUUGCUAGGCCCGAAUCUGGCCCAAAAAAUGAGCCUAAAAUUUUACUAAAGCCCGACUUGGAUAAAUAUGUUAAAACCUAGGUCCGACUCGGCCCGCCCAUAUUAAUUUUUAUAUUAUUUUUAUAUAAUUUUAAAAAACAUAUAAUACAUCAAAAAUAUUAAAAAUAUCAAAAUAAAUAUUUCUCAAGAAAUUGAAAAUAAAUUUUAAAAAAUAUAUAUAUUUAAAUAAUAACAAAAUUAACAUAUGUUUUUAAAAUAAUAAUAAUAAAAUAGUAACAACAUAAUAAUAAAAUGGUAGUAAAAUAGAGUAUUAAAAAUAGAUUUUUUUUUCAAUUAGUGACUUCUGGCCGGGCCGGGCCUCGGGGGUAAAAAAUGCCUUACCAAGGCCUGGCCCGUCUUUUAAACUGGCCUUAUUUUUCUAUUCAAAUCUAUUUUUCGGGCCUAUAUUUUUUGUCUAAACCCUCCCACAUUUUGGGCGGGCCUUUGAGUCGGGCCGGUGGCCCGACCCAUGAACAAGUCUAAGACAGAGACUUUGAACCUUGAAAAAUCGAGUUUUAGUCCCAUUAUUUGCAAUUACAAUGGUUGGGUUCUCUCUCUUACUUUGUGUGGAUUUUAUCCCGUUUUUUCCAAAUUAGUCUGGCUUUUGUUUGAUUCUUUUUUCAUUACUUAACAUCAUAGUUAAUUAAACAUAUAUUUGUAUUUGUCUUAUACUUUUCUUGUAUUGUAUUCUAGUGAAACUUAAAAAAAAAAUAAAAAAUUUUAAAAAUUGAACUUAAAAAUGAAAAUGUAUGUUUCGAAAUAAAUCUCAAAACUUUACAUAAAUUUAAUGUAUAAUUUUAUAUGUGAAUUUUAUUAUGGUACAAUUAUACACAUAGAACUAUGAUUGUCGAACUUUUAUUUUGAUUCAAUGAUAUAUAUUCAAAGAAAUAGAUAUAUCAAUUUAUUUUUAUAUUAGAUAAAUAUAAUUAUUUACAUAUAUAAUAUAUAAACAUAUAAUUGUGUUAUAUUAAUAAUUAUGUUAAUAAUUUGUGAGAAUUGGAUCAAAUUAAAAUUUCACACAUUAAACCAAAGUUAAUGUAUAAUUUUGAGAUUUAACUCAAACAUUAAAUCAUAAUAAAAAGACUAAAUUCAUAAAAAAAUAAUUUAUAGGGACCUUUUAUAAAAUUUUACCUAAUAAUUAUAUUACGUAUGCCAAUAAAGUCAUCAUCUUCGAUGAAGCUUAGUAAAUUCAGUCUCAGAUUAACAGAAAAAAGAAAAAAAAACCCAUAAAAUUCCUCAAAGAAAACCCUCUCUUCCCGCGAAAAUCCUUCUCAAUUUAACAAGAGAAGGAAGUUUUUAAAGCCUUUUGCAAUAAAAUUUUGUUGGAAAGGGCUCAUGGGAAGGGUUCUACAUGAAACACCGAAUCCACCAUUGUCGUCGUCGACGGAAGGCGCCACCACGUCGUCGACGUCGGUGAUGAAGACGUUGAACGGGUCUCACCACUUCAAGAUCACGGGGUACUCGCAAUCAAAAGGUAUGGGGGUCGGAAAAUACAUAGCUUCUGAUAUGUUCAUGGUGGGUGGGUAUUUGUGGGCGGUCUAUUUUUACCCCGACGGUAAGAGCCCCGAAGAUAAUACCGCGUACGUUUCGUUGUUCAUUGCUUUAGCGAGCGAAGGGACGGACGUUAGGGCGCUUUUUGAGCUCACCCUUUUGGAUCAGAGUGGGAAACAGAGGCAUAAGGUGCAUAGCCAUUUUGGAAGGACGCUUGAAAGCGGUCCUUAUACUCUUAAGUAUCGUGGCAGCAUGUGGUAAGGGUUUUAUUUUGCAAUUUCAAUUGGAAUUACAGGGUGGGUUUUUGGGUUUUACGAUGAAUUUUCUUUAGUUGAUUGAAGUUUUGGUGGGUUUAAUCUUUAUUCUUCUUUUGUGACUUUUAUUGGGGUUUUAAUUAUCUUGCAAGAUAGUAAGAACUGCAUAAUGGGUUGUUCUGGUUCUUGUGCUUGUAAUCUUCAGGUUCACUUUGUUGUUUAAGGCUAGAGUCUAGAUCCUCUUCUCUUUUUUUUUACAUUUAUUGAGCAUUAGCCUUUAUGUUGGUUCUUAGGUGGCUAGGAUGUUUGCAUAACAAGUUUGUUGCCUAUGAAAUAGCAAUAUAAUUGCGGGAAAUUUUGGAGGAAUAAAUUAGCUUCAUUCCUGUGACAUACUUUUUUUAUAUAUGAAAAGUAUUUGGGGUAGUUGACAAGAAUAUAAUUUCACAUGAAUUAUGCUAAAAUUGGCUAUUGCACUAGAUUUUGUUAGCCACUAAGGCUGACCUUAAUUGCUAUUAUUAUUAGCAUUACUUUUUUGGUCAUUCUUUCCUUCUCCUAAUCUUAUUAAGAUUCCAUGACUUGUGAAUUUCGAUUUAUUUUGAAAUACAUGUAAUAUAUUGAGUAGAGAUUGUGGGGAUUAGUGAGAAUAAAGCGAAGUUAAUUCAGUCAUAUGUCUGCUUUUAUAUAUAUAUAUAUAAAAACAUGUGUUCUUGUCCGUUUUUUGGUUUGAGACUAGUCAUGUUUGGACCAGGGUGGUAUUCAAGUAAAACCUACCUAAUAGUGAUGGCUCCAGGACUUGAACUCAGUCCAAAUGCUUGGGCAAGAAGUCUACUCCACUUCUUCCAACCAUGCUUUUUUUAUUUUGAGUUUAGCAUGUCUAUAAAAAUUACUUCUUAUUAAAGUGUUCUGUUAAAUUUGAAGGAUUUCAGUUAUUUUUUUUAAAAUUUUUUGCAUAUUGCCUCCUGUUACUGUUUGUGUAGACAUGUUUUUCUUCAAAGCUACACUCUGGUUUCUUUUAUGCUCCAUCUCGAUCCAUACAGUUCAAACUUACUGCAGCUUGUUUAAUUUGGCAUCUUAGUAAAGCAUUUGGUUGCAAUCAAGUAUACAUUGUUGACCAAGACAUAUGCAACAACAUUAUUGCUAGCCUAAUCGAACAAUUCUAUAGUAUUGAUUACUUUACUUUUUUGAUUGUUCAUGAUGUCUGACCUUUACUAACUGGAUGAUAAAUGUUAUUAAGACAUAUGUGGGUUGCGUUAUAUCAGAUUUCAGUCUUAGCCUCUUGGCCUGUAGGUUCUUAGCACCCAAUUCCUGUAGGGGUAUUUGCCAAGUUCCGAGGUUUGGCUCCUCUUGUCUUCCCCCUGAAAUGAACAAAAAGAAGAAGCAUAUUUUAUUUAUUUCCCUCAUUUCUCUUGGUAUAUGAUAACCUUUGGUGAGUAAAGAAGUAAUUAGUUUGAUUUGCUGCAGGGGAUAUAAACGGUUUUUUAGAAGAACUCUUCUUGAGCAGUCAGACUACCUCAAAAACGAUUGCCUCUCUGUUCAUUGUAGUGUCGGAGUUGUUACGUCACAUACAGAAGGUCCUAAGUUCUACUCCAUAGCUGUUCCGCCUUCAAGAAUUGGUCAUCAUUUUGGACAAUUACUAAAAACUGGAAAGGGAACUGAUGUUAGCUUUGAAGUUGAUGGGGAAGUCUUUUAUGCCCACAAGUUGGUACUUGCUGCACGUUCGCCUGUGUUUAGGGCACAACUUUUUGGUCCUAUGAAGGAACAGAAUACAAAGCAGAUAAAAGUUGAAGAUAUUGAAGCUCCGGUUUUUAAGGUUCAUUCAAAUACCCCUCUUCUUAUGUUGGACAAGAACUCAUGCUACUUCUUGACCAAUGAUAAUGCAUUGGUGAUGGAUGCAAAGCAUUAACCUGCUGUGGAUAGCAUACACUGCCUAGGAUGCAUCAUGUCAACUCCAUUGAUAGCAUGCCUGAUGUUAAUAAUUAGUUGGAAACUUCUCCAUGCAAAUUAUAUGCUGGGGUGGCUGAUGCUUAUGCUUUUGAAGUCAAUUUGUGGCAUGUACUGUCUUAAUCUUUUAGUUAAUUGCUUCAUAUAACGCACAUGUAGAUCGUCAAUGGCUAUACACAAAAGUACAUUCCUGAAUGUGCAUUUCUUUACCUUUCUAAAAAUAAUGAUAUUCGAGCUUUAUUUGAAGGCUACAAAAUAUUUUACUCGUCAAGCUAAAGCAAUGUGACUAUAUAAAGUACGCUAUGGUCCGGGUUACUGAUACAGUAUUAUCUCUAUUGACUAUUCCUUAUCUUGCGCUUUGCAGGCCCUACUUCACUUUAUGUACUGGGAUUCUCUACCUGACAUGCAAGAGCUCACUGGUCUCGACUCCAAGUGGGUGACUACAUUGAUGUCUCAGCAUCUGCUUGCUGCCGCAGAUAGGUAUGGACUAGAAAGGUUGCGAUUGCUCUGUGAGUCCAAUCUUUGUGAGGAUGUUACCAUUAACACUGCGGCAACUACAUUAGCCUUGGCCGAACAGCACCAUUGUUUCCAGUUGAAAGCUGUGUGUCUCAAGUUCGUUGCAGUGCCAGAAAAUCUAAGAGGUGAGUGUCUCUUUAUGUUUUGAUAUGUACAUCAAUGUUGAAUUAGGGCUAUCCAUGCCCGAAAAUAAUUGCUUUUAGAUAGAAUGCAUAGCAAGUUAUCAUAUAGCUAUUCUUAAGUUUGUCUUCUUGUUAUGGGUCAUAAAUGCCACAGCUAUUCUCACAUAGAAGUCCCAUAUAGCCGGAUUGUGUCUUAGCCCUCGGGAUAUUAUGCAAUCAUUCUUCAUGCAAUUGAACAAAACACGACCUUAGGGUUUUCUAUCUCGAGCUUUUAUCAUAUAUUGUCGAACCUGAAACCCUUCAUUCAAGUACAGCUAUUCUGAAUGUCUCAUUUGGGAUUUCAUCAAGUCAUACAACUGCAAUUGCACUUUGGUUUAUACCAUCAUCAACAUCCAUAAUCUUUACAAGAUUCAUCCAACUCUUAGGUUUCUCUUGACUGAACCCCCAGCGUUUUUCUUUUGUCUUGGGCAGCUGUAAUGCAAACAGAUGGUUUCGUGUACUUAAAGGAAAGUUGCCCAUCUGUCAUGACCGAGCUGUUGGAGUAUGUGGCUAGAGUGAUUGAGCACUCGAUGUAUGUAUGCAAACAUGGGAUUGAACCCAUCUUUGAUGGAAGUGAUGCAAAUGGUAGGAGGGUGAAGCAACGGCUAUAGCUACAGCUUGGUACAGUUUCCUUACUAAUUAAAAGUAAAAUAAGAAAGAAGAAGAUAUGAAUGACCAAAAAUAGAUGAAAAUACAAUUGGAUUAGAAGAAUUCCUUUUUUUUUUUAAUUUUAUUUCAGUGUUGUAAGCUUGGGUAUUUGUAAGAGAUGUAAAUUUAGUUGUUCCUAUGGUUGCUCUGUAUUGGGAAGUGAUAUUUCCUCAUUAUAUAUUUGCGUUGUAGUUGUGUUUCAUCUUUAAAAUAUUUAUAUAUAACUUAUAAUAGGAUCUAAAUUUGUAUGUUUAAUAAUGCCUUUUAAUUGUAUUAUUAGGUCUACUUCAUUCAAUAUAUGUAUAUCAAAGUACAGAAAAAGGGGGCCAAAUAACCCCAAAUACAAAUCUGAAGAAAAACGAUAUGAAUGUCUGACCAAAAUGAAGUCAUAUCGGAUGAAAACAUGAGGGUAGCCUUUGUAUUGUAAAACUCGGAGUCUCCGGCGGUCGUAUAUUAGUGGCCUGUGGAAAAAUAAAGACAAAAGGUGUGAAGCUAAGUGGUGAUGAGAGGGGAAAAAAGAAAUGGUGAAGACGCGUGGUUGACACUGAGGUCGUAUUUGAACUCUGAUAGAAAUCAUAACAUUUCGAGAAUGAAUUAUGAUCCACGUGUGAUAGCAUAGAAAAUUAAAAAUUGAAUUAAAUAAUGCAUUAACGCAACAAUUAUAUCUUUUUUAACACUCGUAAUAUCAAAAAUCUCAAUCUCUACUUACAAGUUAAGCAAUUAAUUGGUGGGCGUCCACCCCCACCGUGUCUUAAAACAUUAACGAGCUCCUGCUCCCCGUGCCAUUUGUCACCUUCUCAUGCUUCUUAUAUGCUUCCCCAUUGAAAUCGCCGCCGUCCUCAUCCUCAUCCUCCUCUUCCUCCACCUCCUCGCAGUUUUCUUCUUCCGACGACAGUGGCACUAGCCAACAAGUCCCAUGCAAGUGGCCGUUCACGCAAACGAAAUACUCCAACCUCCCGUCACGUGACCCGAGUCGCCGGGCGGCGCUCUUGGGAACGAGCCGAGCCGCCGUCAUGCUCCAAACUCGGGUCCCGCAGUAAGGACACCUAACCCGGUCGUCGAACGCUACUUGCCGUCCGAUCAAGCAGGCUCGUGUGUUGGACCUGAGAAAUCCCCGGAAUACCCCUCGGUAGAUCCCUAAAUCGUCUUCUUUAUCCCCCACUGGGUGCUCACACGGGUCACUGACGAACAACAGAUCCGCCCGACAUUUUUUGGUCAAGAAGCUCCGACCCGAAGUCUUCGAGAACCGAGACGCACCCGCGAAAUGACCCGGAGAAGACCGACUCAGUUUGAAAUUGCGAGUCGACUCACAACCACAACAGAAAAACAUGAGCUUCGCGAGAGCAUCCCAUCCACCACCUAUUCUUCCACUAGGUGAGCCAUUAACCAAUGCCGAUACCAUGCGAGGCGCUCGAUAUACACAGAGCUUCCGCCAUAAUAACCGUUUCGCUAUAGCUCGAAGCUUACGGUUGACUGAAGCGGUCAAACAAAGGACCUGCAAAUCCCAUUUUAUUGACUCGAAAACGAGUAACAGUACACACUCGUUGAGUAUCCCCGAGUCAUCCGACUCGGUUUCUUGACUCAGUGGAUUAAGUCUUCGUCUCUGGGCGGCACUCAUUUCUAUUAGGGGGCGGAGGAGGAUCGGGGGAUAGCGAUGGUAAUUUAAAAGCGCCUAAAUACCAGUGUCUGAAACUCGAGCGAAAGACACGUGUCCAAAUGGAAAUGGAUAGUCUAUUGCCCUAGAUCAUGGGACACGUGGUGUGAUAUCAUUGGAAAGCUUCGACGCGUGGUGGAUUUGUAUUGCGCGAUGCAGGUGAUCGAGGAUCGAGAAUAACGUCAGCUGGUAAAUUGAGAUGUCAGGAUCAGCCUCCACGUGUCCAAUGAUUUCCCCGAAAUACGAGAUAUCUUUUUCAUGCCUCGAAAAUAUCUAGAUGGCUCAAACUUCAACGUGUUGAAUACAAGUUGAGUGCUCUUUUCUUUUCCUAAAUAAAAAAUAAUUUAGUUUGAUUUUUUUGGUUAAAUAAUAUUUUAUUCUUGAAUUUAUUAUUUAUGUCUUUUUUUUAAUGGAUAAUAUUAUAACCAAAUAAAAUAACUUCAAAAAAAUCUAUACUAUAAAUUAAUAAACAUAAUGUAGAGAAAAUGAUAUGAUUGUCUAUAAGUGGUAAAAGCACCUUCUACUUUUAGAGAUAAAUUUAGAUUAAAAUUCCAACUAGAAAUGAUAAUCACAAAUCUUUAAAAAAAAUUCAUCUUUACUAAAGUAAAACGUGAUGGAUUGAUUGCUCAGGUGAAGGUGAAAUCUUCAACGGCAAAGUUUUCUGAAAUUUCACUACUUAUGUUAAAUGACAAUAAUUUCAAAUCGCACACUUUUAAUAUGGAUUUUAAUAAGUUAAAAUAUAUCAUAAAUCUUUAUACUUAAUUAAUUUAUAUAAUAUUAAGGGGAUUUUUGAAAUAAUAUGAUUUUUUUUUUACAAAAAUAAUAUGAACUUUGCAUGAAAAUCCUAAAUUUAUAUGGCGGCAUGGCGAUUGUGAAUUUAAAAUUACAGGAAUUCUAUGUUUCUUUUUAAUACAAUCAUUAUCUUGUAGUCACUCAAAAUCAAUAGCCACCUUAAUGAUUUAGGAUUCUCGUGUAUAGUCCGUGUUAUUUUGAUAAUUAAAAUUUUCAUAUUAUUUCAAUAAAUUUUUUUUUCAUAUUAUUAGAAAAGGUCAAAAAAAAAUAGCUUAAAUUAUUUUGUAAGAGGAGAAAUAGUGGUGGGAUGACACGUGGAAACAUAUUAACAGACCGCGUGUUUGCUUCCAUUUAUGAAACGAUAGCUGUUGAUAAAAAAGGAAGCGGGAAAAGGCUUAUUUGACUCGUGAUCAGCACGUGGAUUGAAGAUUCUAAUUAUGGAUUGAAGUGAUAAUUCUAAAUAAUAAUAUAUUAAAAUACAAGAAACUUAAUUAAAAAUAAUUAUAAUAUGAUACUUAUAUAAACAAUACAAUUAAUACAGAUGUGAUAUCAAUAUAUAAAUAUUUUAAAAUUUAAGAGAAAUUAUACAAAUGGUCAUUUAAUUGUACUUGCGUUCCUGUUUUGAUCACUUAGCUUUAAAAAAUUUCAAUGUAGACACUAAUAUUUAAAUUUAUUCCUAUUUUUGUCACCUGUCAUUAAAUUGUUCUAACUAGUAUAAUAACACAUUCAGUCCUUAAUAUUUACAUAUUAUAUCAAUUUGAUCUUAUUGCCAAAUCAUUCAAUAAAUAUAACUUUUUACACUUAUAAAUUCUAUCAAUUUAAUCCUCAAACUUUCUAACUAAAUGUUUCAGCUUUUAAAAUAAAAAAAAAAAACAUUCUGCAUCAAUAAAUUUGUACCAAAACAAAUUCUGCAAUAAACAAGUGGUAAAAAGCUCUAUAUUGGUAUUAAAAGUAACUCAAUAUUUUCUUUUCUAAUUUACAAUAUUCAAAUUUAAAUAUUUAAAUAUUAAAAUUUUAUCAGUUAACUAAAUAAAUAUAUGAUCUGUAUGCAACGUAAUGGAUAUCCCAUGAAAAAGGGACACCCUUUUUGUCUUAAGUACAAUUUUAUUAAUAGGGUUAUUUAAAGCUAUAUUUCUUCAAGGUUUAAUUGUGUCCAUACAACCCUUCUUAACAGGUCUCCUUAACAUUCAAAUGAAAUCUUUGAUGACUGAUUCAAUAAUCAAAAAGUUGUUGGUUGUAGAUGAGUAAUUUCGAAAAUUUGUCGAUAAAGGAAUUGGUUUGAAAAGUGCUCAUUAGUUGGUUUUAUAAAUUUAUAGACUUGUUGAAUUUUAAUUAAGAAUGUAAGUAUUGUGAACUAAAUAUGUUAUUAUACUAUUUUAAAAAUAAUUUUUUAUUAUCAAUUUAACUACGAAUGACUAAAAUAAGAGUUAAUUCAAAUAUUAGUGCCUAAAUUAAAAAAAUUUAAAGUUGAAUGACAAAGCAGGAAGUUGGAGAUCAUUUGUAUAGUUUAACUUAAAUUUCACAUUACCAAAUUUAUAUAAAUAAAAAAAUAAUAUUAAAAAAAAAGAUAUUUAUUUGUAUUUUUUUAAUGAAUUAUAAUAAUAGAAUAAAGUUCGAAUAAUAAAUGAAACUCGAACCCAUGUAACACCUAUAAUUAUUAUUAAAAACAAAAACAAGAGUGAGGAGUUAGCGAAGCUAAACUAACUUUUUAUGUUGGUUGGGAUAGGAGCAAUUUAUUACAUUAUGAGGUUCGAGCAGCUUUUCAGCAUAAAUGGGUGCCCACUCAUUUAUAGCUCAUAAAUAGAUUCUUUACCUUUUUCCGAGCUAUAAGUUAUGAUUUUGAUUUUUUUUAUUACUAGUUGAUUAACGUAAAAUAUAAAUAUAAAAAUAAUAAAAUUAAACAGUUUAGUGAUUAUUUAUAAUUAAGAGAUAAAAAAGAAUAGUUGGAUAAUCUCUACGGUAGUUUAUCCUUAAAAUAUUAAAAAAUAAUUUAUUUGACAGUUUAAUUAAUUUUUUAGUCUAGAUAAAUUAAUUUGUACCAAUUUUCAAAUUAAUUAGCUCAAAAUAAUUCGAUGAAUCAAUUUUCAAUCCAAUCAACUAACUUAGAGAAAAGUAUUAAAUUAACUGAAUUUUUAAUUCUUUUUUAUAAAAUAUAAUGAUUUAUUUAAUUGGACCAACAUAUCAAUAACUUAAUUGACCAGAAAAAUGAAUGAAUCCGAGGCAACAAACCUCUGCUAAAUUCUAUCCCAACCCUCUUAUAAUAACCCUCCGUAUGAUUGUAUCAACAAUCUUUUAUUUCUAAUUUAGCGAAAUUAUAUUGAUAUAAUUAGUGCAUAUUUUAAAUAAUAUCAAGUCAUCUUUUAAAAAAUAUAUAUUAAUUAAUUAUGAAUUGCAUCCCUUGAUUUAAAAAAAAAUUAAUAGCAAGAUUUAAUACUAUUAUUUAAUUAAACUAACAUUUCAAUUUUGGAUUAAUUUUUUAGUAAAAACUAAAAAAGGAUGGAUUUUAUAAUUAGAGCAAAAAAUGUGGGCACAGCUUCGGCAGAUCGCUUAGCCCCGUUCAUCUUCGGCGCAAGAGCGCUCGAUCAGUGAGCUAUUACGCACUCUUUCAAGGGUGGCUGCUUCUAGGCAAACCUCCUGGCUGUCUCUGCACCCCUACCUCCUUUAUCACUGAGCGGUCAUUUAGGGGCCUUAGCUGGUGAUCCGGGCUGUUUCCCUCUCGACGAUGAAGCUUAUCCCCCAUCGUCUCACUGGCCGACCUCAACCCCUAUUAUUUU
This 84463-nucleotide long non-coding RNA is filed under the name Gossypium barbadense (sea-island cotton). RNAcentral describes it as "long non-coding RNA (GBAR_LNC007698)". The stretch from base 37640 to 37783 matches the Rfam family "MIR7502 microRNA precursor family". Lineage: Eukaryota; Viridiplantae; Streptophyta; Magnoliopsida; Malvales; Malvaceae. The record is from RNAcentral.